AAUAAUUUUUUUUAUAGAGAUUAAAACAAAAUUUUAAAUUAUUAUACCUAUUUAAUAAAAAACAUAUCCUUAAUUAUGAUCAACUACAAAACCAUACAUUACUUAUAAGGUCGCUCCAUUACAUCUAUCAAAAUUCAAAAGUAUUAAGCCUCGAAAAGUUCAUUCACUUUGAAAUGACAAUGAUAACCUUUCCGUGGAAAUUCAAACAUAUUAAAAUAUAUGACUACAUCUUACGCAAGUCAUAGUCAAUCCACUUUUUCCUUCAUGAUAUCAUCCAUUUCCAAUACCAUCUAAUCAAGUUGUAAUAUAUUCUCCUUACGACAUUCAUAUGGAAGACCAUGAGCAUAGCGUCUCAAAUCUCUACAAUAAUCAUAAACUACCCACUUUGAAAGAACAUUUUUCAUUUUCCCCUUGCUUUCCAUAUCAAGACCUCUAUUUUUUCCAGCAUUAAAACCCCGACAUUUUCUAUCUUCCGUUGCAAUGCAUGCAUCGGCAUUAAAGUUUUUGAAACCAGCUAUAAAUGGAGCAUUUGAGAGAUCAAUCUUCACCUCACCCCAUCUUGUUGCCCAAGAGUCUCCAUUCCAAAGAGUUGAGUAAAUUCUCAUUGGUCUUUUUGUUGGGAAUGGAACACCAAUGCUUUGUCUAUUGAGCAUCACUCUUAUAGGAUUUCCAUCCACAAGAAGUCUACAAAAAUAAUAAACAUAUAUUAAUAAAAAUAUGACAUCACAUUUAAUAUAUAUAUAUAUUGUUACUUACAUAAUUCUAUCAGGGUUCCAAUCAAUGGAAUAUGUGUGGUAGUCUUCCGUUGGAUCAAACCAAAGAUAGAAUUGCAUUUCGCGACCCCCAACACCUUCAGCAUAUACAUUUGUUGAGAGAAGAUAGGGUUCACCGGUUAAAUUUCCUAAGAAUUCUAUGUCAAUCUCAUCAUGUUGUGCUCCUACAGAGCUUAGCUGCACAAUAAAAUAUAUAAAUAUUAGUAAUAGUUUAAGAAAAUUCUUUAUAAACUCCUUAAUAUAAUAAGAUAUAUGAUUUAAUCAGAAGAAGAGGACAUACAUAAUAGGCUGUGACAGUUCCUGCGGAAUUUCCUGGAACAAGCUUGAUAUCCAUAUCAAAUCUUCCAUAUAAAUACUCAUUUUUGGACACAAUGCCUGAGCCACAAUAUUCAUCCAAAGUAAGGGUCAUGCUAUUGCCAUUAUCUUUUAUAUUAACCCUUUCAUCUCCAAAAAGAUUAUCAAAAUCGGUGUUGAAAUUUCCACCAAAAACUAAUGUGCUAAAUCCUAAAAAUAUAGAUAAAAGCAAAAGGAAAUUGAAACCAUAACAUGAUGAAGAAAUCAUUCUAAUUUGUUUUCGUUCAUAUGUUUCAAAAAAUACCAUUGAUUUAUUUAAAUAAUAAAAAAAUAAAAAUGGUUUCAUUAAAAAAAAACUGUAUGGUUGCGACAGUUAGAAUAUGAUUGAUGUAGGCGUAGCUGUCAAACACGGAUUGUGUGAUGACUGCUUCACCGUAAUAUUAUUGUGGCAAUUGCAGUUUCAUUCAACUGCAAUUCCAAAUAUUUAGUUGAUAAUGUGUUUUUCUAAAUAGAGACACAGAAAGAAACAAGAGAGAGACACAAUUAGGGUUGUUUUUUUUUGCAUGCAAUGAAUGUUCUUAGAUCUUUGCAUCGCUGUCUCUUCAAUUUGACGUUGGACAAAAGGUCAAAGUUUAAAAUGGGUGGUUUCUCAAGAUAGAAAGUGCUAAACAUGGAGAUGGAAGGAUGAUGUGUGAGAAAAAAUAUCAUAUUUUUGCAUGAAUUACACCUUUUUUUUAUUUACAAAUAUAUUCAAAUUAUUGUAAAUAUCUAUCUCUUAAGUCGGGUAACCAUAUGCAACCAAAGUGUCAAAUAUAGAAACUUUCAUGUGUCUAUUGUUUGUAUUAUUAUUAGAUGAUACAUAGUACUUACUGUUUAAUAAUCAUACAUUAGCUUAAAUGUAUUAAUUAAGUGUAAGUUGUUAUUUUAAGAAAAAUAAGGUAUCAAUGUGUUAUAGUCUACUCUAUUAAAACAAUCAUAUUAUUAUGAUCUACUAGCUCACAUAACUAAGAAGUGAAUACGAUGGGAAAGUAUUUUCCUGCCGUCAUCCAUCUCUCUCUCUACAAUUCUUUUUUUUAUUUUUUAUUUAUUUUUUGAGAUAAAGCUAUAUAAGAGUGAAAAGUUGUUGAUUGAAAACAACUUCAUGGUCGUUGUUGAACCAUUGACUAAAAACUACUGCAAAAUAUACCAUUGCUAGUCUGACGGUUAAUUGCAGUAAUAUCUUAAUUUUUGACGUGUUUUAUUUUUUUAUAUUUACAAAAAUACAUUGCAUUAUGAUAAAAACAAUAAACUGUGAUUAUAAAUUUAUGGAGUGAGAGAGUUCAAAUUCUAGCUCCAACAACAUUCGACUUUUUUGUUACAAUGAGUCUUGUCUUUAUAAUAUGAUAUAUGUAUAUAUAUCAAAAUUAAAAUAUCUAUCACUAUGGUUGAUAAUGUCAACCGUUGUAAAAGGCAUUGCAUUUCAUCACAACCGUGGUGAAAUUGUUUACCCAUAUAUAAGUGAAUUAAGUCUCGCUUCUUGACAGUAUCGUAGUAUUUCUCACAGCAAAACCCUAACACACAUUUUCUCUCUUCUUCGUCAUUAGCUUUCCUAUUCUACAGUAUAGCCUCAAUCUUGUUCUUGAUACAUAAAGGUAUUUCUCUUCUUCCUUAUUCUCCCGUUUUCGUUUAUGUUGUUGUUAUGUUUCACAUGAUUUUCUUCUUGUUCGAGAGUUUAUGUUUUUUUGGUUUUGUUGUAUGUUUCACAUGAUUUUCACAUAAUUUUUAUAUUAUUUACUUUGGUUUCGUAUGUUUUGUUGUUGGUGUGGAUAUGCUUUACUCCGAUUUCAGAUCAUUCUCUCAAAAUGAAUCAAGAUCAAGCUAGUGGGAGCAAACUUGUCAAUAAGAUUGAGGCUUCAAAGGAGGUUAUUGAUAUGCUAGAGUUAUGGUUGAACAAAGUCAAGGAAGUUGGAGUUGUUAGUGAUCACAUUAUUGUUGUUGAACCGUCUGGUGGAACAUGUUAUAAGAAGAUUCUUAUAAAGAAUCUUAACCCUUAAAACAUAAGGAAGGUAGAGCCUAUUGUGAAGGAUCUAAUGAAUAUGAAUGCAACUGAUUCUGAAUCAGAUGAAGACCAUGAGAACUACACGAAUUCAAUUAGGCAUGAAGAUUGAAGAUUGCUCUUUAUGUAUCUAUUAGAUUUUAGGAACAAUUAGUUAUCAAGUUCUCUUAAUCUAUGUUAAUUAAUUGAUGUUUUUGUUGAUAAAUAAUGUUAGUGAGUUUAUUAUAUCAUAUGUGAGUACAAUAAACUCGAAUUCAUUUAAAUAGAUUUUUGAGACAAUAAUUAAAAAAAUUAAAUUAUUCUUGAAAAUCAACUUAGAGAUCUAAUGUUUAUCGAAUUUUAUUCAUCUUACAAUCACGAUUUUUUUCUUUAGCCCGUAGAAUUAGAUUCAAUGCCAAUUUUUUUUCAAAAAAGUGAUGAUAAAUGGAUGUCAGUCUGAGUAUUUAACACAAAAUUUGAUGUUUACAAAAUAAAAUAGAAAAAAAAUCUAUUUUUGUGUAAAAGACUUAGAAGACAUCCAUUCAUCAUCAUUACUUUGAAGAAUUAUGGAUUGAAUCAAAUUAUACGGGUUACUGAGGAAAUCAUGAAUUACAAGAUGCAUGGAAUUCAAAAAACAUUGGACCGUUUAAGUUUUUUUUCAAGAAUAAUUUAAUUUUUCUGAUUAUUAUCUCAAAAAUCUAUUUGAAUGGUUGUAUAUGGUUAAUAAGGGGCAGAGAAAAAUAAGAAUUCCCGUAUUUUAUAAUAAACUUUUAUACAUACCAUAACGGUUGUUUAACAUAACUGUUGUGAUAGGUAGCGCGCUACCUAGUUUAUUACCACGGUCACACACCCAUGAUGAUAACCAACAUACAUACAAUCACACGCUACCAAACAAUGGACGUGCAACCGCCAUUAUAUGUGUUUCAGAAUCGUAAUUAUAUGUGUUUUCCGUUGUAGUGGUUGUGACUACACCAAUUUUUCAAAUGUAGUGAAUCAUGGUCCCAUAUUAUGACUCAUUCAUUGAGUAGUUCUUUCACCUAUAUGAGUCGAGUUAUGAAUACACUAGUGUCACACCCCGAUUUUGAUCCUGAAUUUUCGUUUUAAUACAUUCAGCAUAGCUAUUGCAUAUCUGCAUAGCAUAACAUGCAUUCCAUAUCAUAUAAUGCUUGGAAUAUCAGUCGAAAUAAAUUUUUGGAUCUAUAGGAAGAUCAGUUGAAUUAUUUGUCAAAUGUGUGUCGAAAUAACGAGCGAAAAAUUUCAAAAUCAAGCUUGCAAACAUUAGUUUUAUUAAUCUAUGUUUUGCGUAGUUUAAUCUGGUAUGAUCGACUUAUUUUUCGGCUAAUUAUUCGAUCACAUUUUGAUCCGUCUGAGCGUUUUAACCGAGCGUUUUCCAUUUGAAAAAUUUGACGAAAACCUGUAUGUUUUCAAGAAGUUUAUUUCUCACUGAUCAUUGCAAUGCAUUUAUUUUAUUUUUUCAGGACUUUUGCGCCCAACUUUUACUCAUCUUCGAUCAUUUUAUUUUUAUUUUUUUGUCAAAGUGUUCGAAAUAAUUAAAUAGAAUUUUAUACCCUCUCAUUUUACUUUUAUCAUUUUUAUUUAAGAAAGUUUGAUUUUUAUUUGUUUUAAUCGAUUUAAUUUAUUUUAGAUCUUUUAAAACAUCUAGAAAGGGCAACUUUGGCAUUUUAAUUUUAUGAUCAAUAUAUGUUUCUUUGUUUUGAUCCUAGCUGUUAGAUUCGAUUAAUCAACGGUCCAUAUUUUGCAAUCCAUUUGUAUCCGCCAAUCUAAUAAUUUGAAAAUAAGAAAACAAAGAAAAAAAACGCCCCACUAAAGUGAAAAGGCGUGAACAACUCGUAGGAAUUUGAGGAAAAUCAGAAUAUUUUUGCUCCACUCACACAAAUCCCUGAGUCCCAAUAUCUUAUGGGAUCCUUUGUAAAGAUGUUGAUCACGUGGAAAAGGGGGGCAAACCCUCAUUUCUCUCCAUAGCAGGCGUACCACAAGGCACACAUACGUGUCAACUCAUUUAUGGAUUUUGGCUUGAAAUAAUCAAAAGUAAGAAGACAUUGUUUUCAAAUUUGGAUAAACAUAUGGCCACACCAAUUCAAAGAGGGGCCGCAAAUUAUAUAAUGACAUCUAUAUUGGUUAAAGAAAAAGGACUGAUUGGAAAAAAAGAGACUUUUUUCAUUCAUUUUUUGGACGACCCAUUCUUUUUUGGUUUUUAGAAGAAAAAAUGUAAAGAAAGCUUAGUCUUCUUCUUCUUAAAAAUCAUUUUCCAUGUUCGAAAUAGCAUAAUCCAAUAACCAUUUUUCCCUUCCAGUUUUCAUCUUUUUUCACACUUUCCUUAAAACCCCUGCAUUUCACCAUUCAAACUCACUUUCCUACCAUAAUCUCUUCCUACACCCAUAAACCUUAACUGCAACUCAUCAACCUCAACUUACCACCUUGAAAUUUUCGUUCUGCCACACCACAACCAUCCUUCACCACAUCUUAACUCCUUCAUCAUUUUUCCGACAAAACCCUCUCCAUCAUUUCUACCACCCUCAAAAAUCACGGAUAACCACCGAACAACUCAUCUUCUCACUCUCGUUAACGCGUCAGAUCUCGAUUUGUUUCAAGUCGAACUUUCUUUUACUUGUGUUAACAUUACGUUUUCACGGAAGAUUUUUUCCCCAUGUUUGUUUUCAAAUGUUUGAUGGUCAUUUUGGUGAAGAUGAUUGAAUAAUAGCACUUUGAAGAAGAUGAAUAUGUGUGCAUAAAAAUUCUACUACUGAGUGUUUAGUUUAGUUUUGUUUUAUUAUUAUCAACCCAUUUUCCUUUUAUAUAUAUUGAUAGUUGCAUUAGAAUAUCAACUAGUUGAAUCUGGUGGAGUGAUUGAGACCUUGGUAUCCAAACCACCAGGUCUUGGGUUCAUCACCAGGCGCGUCUAUUUCCUUUAUUUUCAUGUUUUUCUUCAUAUUUUCCAUUUAUACAUAAUAUCAUAUAAUAUAUAUUUAUCAUUGCAUAUAUUUGAUAACAAUAGGAUCAUGGGAAGAAUGGCUGAAGCUUCAUGCCUCCCUUUCCCAUGUCUUGGGUUCAAUCCCUUGUUGCCAUUUUUCCUCACCAUUUUUCCAUUUUUCUAUUCUUUUUCACCCAUUUUUUGGUUUUCUUUCACAUUUUUUUAACCAUCCAAAUGUUAUUUUCUUUCUAACUUUUUUAUGCCUACGUCUUAUUUGUGACAUUGUCUUUACAAUUUAAUUUUUGUUUUUAUUUUUUCUAUUUUAUUUCCCCCGAUUACGACUGUUGCAAAAGUGCCCAGUGAACAUUUUAAAAAAUGCGAUACUUGUUAGAUUUUUGUUUGGUUUCUUUGAUUUUAUUCAUGGUUAAGCAUCAAACUUUGAUUUAUGGAUUUGACACUUCCCAUGUUGUUAUUCCACCGAUUAUUUGACCAAUAUAUUAAUGGUAUUUCUCCGUGUUUUGACUCUUCGCCUACGAUAUUUCCAUUGUUAUUAUUAUGCGCAAACCAGAUUUGAGCAUAUUACCUAGGGUUUUGCUUGCACCUCUCAAUUUCUUUUGAUUUAAUGUUUGAACGUGUUAUAAAUAUAACUUGUUUGUUGCUAUUUGCUUCACAUGGUUUACUCUUGGGCCUUCUUACAAUGAGACCAUCCUCUCGCACCUACACUUAUUCAUUGUUUUUUUGGGCUCGAUUUAAUCGUUUCAUUAUCUUGUAUCCCCAUUCGAUAAAAUGUACCCUCAUUCCCAUGACGUGUAAUAAUUUUUAUCUCUUUAUUUCUUUGUUUACUUGCUUGUUUAGUUAGUACUAACACGAUAAUAAAAUCAACCAUUUCUUAAAAAAGAUCAAAAAUAAAAACUCGAUCCAACGUUGAGUAUUAUCCCAAUAAAAAUCAAUCCAUCUCAAACUCAAUCCAUGUCUAUCCAUUUAAAUCUUUCAAACCAUUUCACUCAAACUCUUUCUCUAUCGAUCAUCAAAUGUUUGAUCCAACAUCAAACCAUUUUUAUCAUAAAAAACACUUAACAUUUAUUCAACACUUUUUCAAUAAGAGAGAUGAAAGGAACAUGGUGUAGUCAACGAGCUUCUGAGAGUUAGAUCCGAGAUGUAGAUCUCGUCAAUCCAAACUCUCAUCAUCCUCAAAUAAAUUCCACAACGCCUAAUAAACCUCGACUAGUUUCGAGUGCGCUUUAUCAAGCAAACUUCAAAAACAUAUAAAAAUAUCAAAACUCUUUUGUAAAUAAUAUGAAAAAGGAGUGGGGUGUAGUCUACGAAUUCCUGAGAGUUAGGAAACGAGAUGUAGUUACCGUCACUCCGAACUCUCUCGUUUUAGCAUGAUUAUUCCUAACUUCUAUACCAGUCUCAUUCUCAUCAUUCAUCAAAACUUUCACAGAUUCACAACUACUUUCUUUUAUGAACAAUCCUUCUUCUUCACCCUUUUUUACUUCAACACCAACCGUCAAGUUCUUACUCAUAAUUCUUGCAUUAAUGAUAUGAUCACUUCCAAAUAAAUUACCUAAUCAUAUUGUUAAGCCAAUUGACAAUAAAGUCUGAUCCAAUCUUUAACCAGAAAGUCUUCCAAAACGCAACAGUAACGACCUGUUGCACAAGGCUCAAAUGUCAUACCAACAUGUUGUGACAUCUUGUCAAGCAUGUGUCCCUUCUGCACCUUCAUACAACUUAAGCAAGCUAGAUUAAUAUUGAACACGUUGAACACUUCUCCAUGUUUUUUUGUACAAAAUGCAAUCAAUCCAAAAGGAACAACAAUCCCCCAAAUUAUGGAAAAACAAAUUUUAAAGAUAUAACACUUAUUCAGACCAAAACAAGUUACAGACUUCAGAGCAUACAAUCAUCAGCAACAAUUUUCAUCAUAGUUGAACACAGUAGCGAAAAAUCAGUAGCAUUCAUCAUAAAUGCCACACGAAAUAAUGCUCUAGAAUAAAUCAGGAAGACAUACAAUCAUUCACAACUUAGUAAUGCAUGGAACUCAAUCAACUUAUAGUUUGUAAUGCAUGGAACUCAAUCAUUCAUCAUUCAUCAAAACUUUCACAGAUUCACAAAUACUUUCUUUUGUGAACAAUCCUUCUUCUUCACCCUUUUUGACUUCAAUACCAAACUUCAAGUCCUUACUCAUAAUCCUCGCAUUAAUGAUAUGAUCACUUUCAAAUAAAUUACCUAAUCAUAUUGUUAAGCCAGUUGACAAUAAAGUCUGAUCCAAUCUUUAACCAGAAAGUCUUCCAAGAUGCAACAGUAACGACCUGUUGCACAAGGCUCAUAUGUCAUACCAACAUGUUGUGACAUCUUGUCAAGCAUGUGUCCCUUUUGCACCUCCAUACAACUUAAGCAAGCUAGAUUAAUAUUGAACACAUUGAACACUUCUCCAUGUUUUUUUGUACAAAGUGCAAUCGAUUCAAAAGGAACAACAAUCCCCCUUUUGGAAAAUUAUGGAAAAAGAAAUUUUAAAGAUAUAACACUUAUUCAGACCAAAACAAGUUACAGAUUUCAGAGCAUACAAUCAUCAGCAACAAUUUUCAUCAGAGUUGAGCACAGUAGCGAAAAAUCAGUAGGAUUCAUCAUAAAUGCCACACGAAAUAAUGCUCUAGAAUAAAUCAGGAAGACAUACAAUCAUUCAUAACUUAGUAAUGCAUGGAACUCAGUCAACUUAUAGUUUGUAGAAUACAACCCUACUAACUAACAAUUAUCAUCAUGUAAUCAUUCAUAUACUUAGUCAAAGAAAUAUUCACCAAAAUUGAUUUUGGCCUUGGUCCCGAUUUGAUAAAUCAAUUUAGCCAAGCCAUAUGACAUGCUUGAGCGGUGGUUGGUAGGUGUCGCUACCGGGAUUUCACAAUAACGAAAACUGGGACUUAAAGAAAUACCAAAGGGAGGUAAAAUCAGAAGAGUCACCACCGAAUUUUAUUUAUGUGCCUCUAUCAGGGAGGUGAGGGUAAAUAGUCUAUAAAAACCUCAAAAAAGAGACGCGCAUGUGAAGCGCUAAGAAAAAGGGAUAAGGAAUCGGUCUCGUGAUAGAGACUUGGGUUUAGAAGUCGGUUACGCAAGGGGAAGGUAUUAGCACCCCUCACAUCCGCGGUACUCCAUGGGAACCAUUUGGGUUGUUUACGUAUGCGGGGAUUUAUCUUGUUAUUGUUUUAUUUUCUAUAAGAAUGUGUCAAAAGAGAGGGAUUUUUAGGUUUUUUAUUAUUGUACUCGCCAAGGAUUGUGGCCCUUGUGCCUACGUAUCACUCAUCACGGAUGAGGAAUCAGAGCCAUAGUUCGGAGUAGAAAAUGUUUGUACGUUGGUUGAUUUUACCUUUGAAAAAAGGAUUUUAGGGAUGGGUGCUUUAAGGCACAAAAAUUAGGUUUGAUGAGUUAUGUUGAAUUUACCUUGAACAAGGGUUUAUGAAAAGAAUGUUUGGGAUUAGAUUGCACUAAAGUCUAGGGGAGAAGGUGAAUAUUCUAUACAACAAGCCAAGCAGCGUCUUGCGUCCAAAAUAAUCAGAGUGAGGGUAGGAAUGCUCCAUUCUAAUUCAUUCUCCACCACUUAAGGCUCAUGGCGCACAAUGCUAAUCAUAGUUAUUAAGUGUUUUAAAUUUGACUAAGAAAAAGCCAUUUGACAUUGAAUCAAAGGUUUGUUUAUUUGAUUAGGAAAUUUGGCUAAUGCAAGAUGAAUGCAAAGUAACCAAUAAGAAAGUAAAGAGUCUCAUUGUAAGGUAUACCAAGAGAAAGUCUUGUGUGUGAAAAGAGUGACCUAAGAUAAACAAAGAAUAAUGGUCUUACAAGCAUGUCCCCCUAAGGUGGUUCCAUGAUGCCAUUCUUACAAUCGGAAUGUAAGUACAAAUGAAACCCAAAGUUCACAAAGUAUCACAAAGAUAAUGGAAAAGGACUCCAAGAAAAGGUCCUUGGAUGAGAUUCUCUAAGUACAAGUGGAUUAAGUGAAAUGGAUUGUUUUUGGUCUUAUAAUUUUAUCAUGUUUAUGUUGUUUUUAAAUGUAAUGAUAACAAUAAAGUAAAGACAAAUGACAAAGUAUGCAUGAUGAGUUUGUACAAUGAUAAUGAUAAUGAGUGCUUAAAUGUAAAUUACAUAAAAGUAAAUAAAAAUGAAUAUAACAAUGAUAAUAAUAAUAAUAAAAGGUUAGUUGUAAUCAAAAGUUAGUAAAGUUAGGUUAAGUUAGGAUUAUGAAUAAUGGACCAACACUUGAGGAUUAUCUAUCCUUAGGUCAAUAGAUACAAAAUAUGACGCAUUAAGGGAAUACUUAUCAAUUGAUGCAAAUCAUGGAAGAUGAUCAAUGGAUCAACUUACCAUAUAUUUAUAACAAUGAAAGUUAUUCGACCCUGAGUCCAUCUAUCAAUAUAUUGACAAAUGGAAGACUAUGCAAAACUCAAGGUUGAAAGCUUAAUGAUUUGUUAAGUUUUUAAGUUAGUGAUCGGAAAAAUAGCAAGUGUACUAUUUUGCCAAUGUAGUAAUAAUAGGGAACUUUCCAAAAUAGCGAUCUCGAGGACUGCGUAGUAAUAUCUAGUUUAAAUCGUAAUUCAAUUAAACAAAAACAGAAGUUUUGGUUUAGAAUAAAAAAUCCGUACAAUGAUAAAAAUAAGCAGAAUGUAAAAUAUGGCUUUUUCACAAAUAUGAGAAUUAUGCUAGGGUCAGGUGUGUGAUUUUUCCUUGUAAUAACCUUGAAUUUAGAUCUCCUCAACAAGUUCAUAUAUUCAAUUACCAAAUCCUAGGUUUGUUUCCUCCUAAAACCUUAGAGGGAAAUCUUCGGUCAUUCAUCCUAUUAUCUAAGUCCUUAGAGAACUAUGAUGAAACCAAGCCAUUGUUUUAUCAAGAUUUACCUGGUAACUAUAGGGUAUCCCUAGUCCUAGGUGGUAUCUAAUAUAGCUUAAUCGUGCAAAAACCUUAACAAUUGCGGUCCAGCUAAUUGUUAACCAUAGAACAAUCCUUAUUUGUCCGAUAAAGAAAGCAUUAGAAAUAUUGCAUAAUUGAAUUGAAUAACAAAAUAUAAAAUUGAGGGAAUUAGGAAUUCAAAGUCAUUACACGAUCAAAUCAGGGAUACCCCCUAGCAUGGGGGGUUUAGCCGCUCAUAAUAUUCAAAGAAAAUAUAAUAUUAAAAUUAGACAUUACAAGAUAAGUGGAUUCCGUUGAUCUUCAAUCGUGAUUGCUCUUGAAGAAUCUCCGUUCUCCGAAUCCAUUGACAAUACCAAUCUUAAUCGUCGAAUUUUUUUGUCGUGAAAAAUGUCCCUUAUCUUUUCCCAAAAAGUAGUAUAAAUAGUCACUAAUCGAUUAACAGAUGUAGCGAAUACCCAAAUUACCCUUUGGAGUCAUAAACUAUAAAAAUCCAAGAAAAUCAAAAGAUGUAGCGUCCAAGCCAACACGGUGGCUCACUAUUUCUCUGCUCAACUUCUCUAAGUUCCAGGCUUGCUGACACGGGCACCCGUGUCAACCCACUGUUUUUCUUCUCAACCUUUGGUUUCAUCCUUCUCCUGACACGGGUCGUGUUAGGGCCAUUGUAUCCUUCAAAAAUACUUCUCUGCGAGUCCGAAACGCCCGAUUUCCUUGCACGAGUCCUUUGGGAUUUUUGCUUGAAUCUGAAAACAAAUAGAACUACCAAGAGAACGAUAAAAUGUAAUAAACAGAUAUAAACUAAUAAUAAUAACAAAGCGAGAAUGGAAGUGCUAACAUUAAACUUAACUUGAAAAACUAAUAAGAAGAUAGAACAAAGUGUUACUGAUUUCACGGAUUCAUGCCGAAUAAGUGACAGAAAACUAGUAGAGUUGGUGACCGAUCACAACCCCAAACUUAUCUCAUUGCUUGUCCUCAAGUAAUGCUCGGGACAGUAGGAAGGUCACUCCCAAAUUCUUCCAAUUAAUCUUACCAUAAUACUUCCGUAAUCUUUCGCGGCUCUCUUUUCACUUUUCUUUCACAUUUUCCUUCUUCCUCGACUUUUGAGGUUCCACCACACUUCCACAUCGAAGUACCUCUUCACCUGUCAGCUUUUAACACUCUCACCAAAUCUCUCCGGAUUAAAGUGUUUACACUCAAUAGUCAGAGCAUGCAUAGUCAACUCAUAAGUUUGAAUAACAUCUAUUUUCAUCUCAAACACACACCACACACACUAUUUGAGGGCUUUUAUGGUUAUAACGGGGCUUAGGGGUAAGGUGGGAGAAACAAACAAAAGGGAAAAAUGAGUGGUUUUACGCUCAGAGUCCGUGUUGUCACUCUCGUCAAUGUGUUCUUUGCAUUGUCCACAAACAAGAGUUUUGGACACCGUUCUAUUUGGAUUCUUUAGUUUUUUACUCAAGUGUUUCUUUGAGCUCGCUUUUCAAAUUUUUUCAAACUAAAUUCUCCUCUAGGUAAGUGCUUUAUUCUAUUUCUCAUUUUUUCUCUUUUUUUAAGCUUUUUAACUUUUUCUUUUUAUCUUUUUAUCUUUUUCGAUUUUCACUUAUCUAGUUCUUACCGGUGUCCCAACCCCAAACUUAGAAUUUUUUUCACAGAUAAAAAAUCCACAACACUUAUCUGAGCAAGGUAAGGGAGUGUUUGGGCUUAGGGUUAAUUAAUGCGGUUAAUAAACAAACAAAAGGGUUAUAAGGCUCGAGAUGGGUGAACGAAGGAUAAUAUCGAAUGGUUGACUGGAAAGGCUCGGGGUUAAAAAGCAAACAAGUUCCUUAGUGUGUAUAUGUGUGCAUUGAAAUUUCAACAUCUAAUUACACAAACUAAGAGUGACCGAGACAUACCUGAAGAAUUCUCAUGAUGAUACAGUGUUUGGAUUUUUAUGAUCCUCACCAUGUUUGGUAUAUCUUACAAGUUCCAAGAUACCUCUAGUGUGAUGUAGCUUCAUCUUCGUCUCGGGUGCAAAGUAUUCCCAUAUCUGUCUAGUGUCGGAAAGUCACGUUCGAUCACCUACUUCAGCAGUACCAACUUUCAGGGGUUUCCUGGAAAGCAAGUAUGGGUUGUGUCUUUCAUCCACUAACUACAAGCCUCAUCAUUCAUCCUAUAUAAAUACCCUCGAUCUGUAACACAUGAAAUAAAAAACACACCUGAUUAAAGUGACAAUAAACGGGCUGAAAAUGAAAUAAUAGAAAUAAAAAUACUGAAAGUAAUAAACCCCCCCGCCCCCCAUAAUUGAACCAAACAUUGACCGCAAUGUUUAAGUCCAAGAUAGAGAGGGGGACUCACAAAGCCUCACUGCGGGGAGGAAAUUGCAACAUUAACUGUUGCAUCAGUGCAUGCAUCCCAUCCAUCACCGUUCCCUGACAUGCCUGCUCAACUCAUUGAUGUGCCUGCUCCGCUUGAAGGUCACAAAUCUCGAUCUGUAUCCACUUCCAUUGGUCAGGGCUCAUAGAUGAUGACCCGGCAUCUGUAUGAGUGGUCUCCUCGUGUGGAAGGACAAACUACUCUUGCUCUUGUGCAUCCUCCUCAUGCUGGUCACCUGCAACAAAAGUCUCAGCAUUGCGCUCGUCCAUAUCAUCGUGGACGACACUCUCGUAUAACCAGUUAGCAGUUUCAGUAAUGCAUAUCCUAGCAGGGUCAGGAAGUGCCAUAGUUAACUGGUUAGAACUCAUCACAACAUAAUAAUAUGAAAUUUGAGAAAUCAUACCUUGCUGAACUAGAGCAUUCAUGUCCAGCUUAUUCUUACUUGAAAUCGAUGUCUCAUUUAGGGCAGCAGGGUCGUAGCCAAAAUGGUGGGCUAUCUGUGUAAUUAUACCCCCAAUGGAGAUUCCUCCCUAAGAAGCUCGGCCAACUCUACCUAGGUAGUCAGCUGCAAAUGCAUCAACACUCACAACAAACCUAUUCUCCAUGGAAAAAAGAAAGAACUACUCCCUCUGGGUAGCUACCCCAGUACUAUCACCCCUACCAAAGAGUGUGAAAGCUUGCAUCUUUUGGGCAUAGCGAAAACAGGGGUUCUGAAUCCCCGAUGCCUUAGCACCCUUUGCCACAUAAUCAGGUAGACUUGUGCUGGCUGACCAUAAAUCCUUAGUGUCAAAACUAUCUGGAACAGCUCCAGGACCAUAAAGGGGUAAUCAGAGAAUACCGCCUAACUGCUCAACCGUUAACUCAUGAUCAACGUUAUACAACCUGAAUGGCAUAGUACCAAAAUAGUACAUCUUGGCCCAUGUCCACUCUUUCUUCAAUUUAAACUCAAUUGUGCUAAAAGAAUCCUGGGUUAUGCGCUCAAAAGUUGGCGCUUCACAAUGCACAAAUUCUAACAUGCCUAGCACAUGAAACAUUAUAUCUAUUUCUUCAGACAAACCCAAUUGAGAUAGAGUGUCAGAGCAUAAAUACCUUGUUGGCAUGAUCUUACACUUAACAUGAGAAGAAUAACGCCUCUCAUGCUCGGGGUUAUCAAAGAUGAUGUUGUGAGCAUUGGGAUGGCGAAUGGUUCUCUUCCGAGGCCUCGACGGCUCAACAUCUGCUUGCUUUCCCUUAACAAUUUGUCUUGGAGGCAUAUUUGGUACCUCAACAAAAAUUUGAGCAAAAAUAAAAUAUGGAGUUAGUAGAAAAGAUUAUGGGUACAUUGUAAAGGGCGAAAAAUGGAGCAACUUUUAUGAAGGGAGUAAGCGGUUUGGUUGGGUUAAGGUGAUAAAGGUUUGAGAUUUUAAUGGUGGUGGCUAUGGAGUUUUUGAGAGAAAGAUAAGGAAGAAGGAGAGUUAGGUGGAAAAGAGAGAGAAAAAUGGUGAAAAAAUCUGAUUAUUAGAAGUAAAUAUGAGUUAAGAGGUGAUAAUUGGGGUAAAACUCAAGUGGAGUCCACACAAGGGGAAGACCAAGCAAACAAUUUUUGACCACGCGCUCCUUGACACGGGCCGUGUCCCUUGACACAGGCGGCCGUGUCAGGCUUCUGCCCCCCCCCCCCCCCCCNNNNNNNNNNNNNNNNNNNNNNNNNNNNNNNNNNNNNNNNNNNNNNNNNNNNNNNNNNNNNNNNNNNNNNNNNNNNNNNNNNNNNNNNNNNNNNNNNNNNNNNNNNNNNNNNNNNNNNNNNNNNNNNNNNNNNNNNNNNNNNNNNNNNNNNNNNNNNNNNNNNNNNNNNNNNNNNNNNNNNNNNNNNNNNNNNNNNNNNNNNNNNNNNNNNNNNNNNNNNNNNNNNNNNNNNNNNNNNNNNNNNNNNNNNNNNNNNNNNNNNNNNNNNNNNNNNNNNNNNNNNNNNNNNNNNNNNNNNNNNNNNNNNNNNNNNNNNNNNNNNNNNNNNNNNNNNNNNNNNNNNNNNNNNNNNNNNNNNNNNNNNNNNNNNNNNNNNNNNNNNNNNNNNNNNNNNNNNNNNNNNNNNNNNNNNNNNNNNNNNNNNNNNNNNNNNNNNNNNNNNNNNNNNNNNNNNNNNNNNNNNNNNNNNNNNNNNNNNNNNNNNNNNNNNNNNNNNNNNNNNNNNNNNNNNNNNNNNNNNNNNNNNNNNNNNNNNNNNNNNNNNNNNNNNNNNNNNNNNNNNNNNNNNNNNNNNNNNNNNNNNNNNNNNNNNNNNNNNNNNNNNNNNNNNNNNNNNNNNNNNNNNNNNNNNNNNNNNNNNNNNNNNNNNNNNNNNNNNNNNNNNNNNNNNNNNNNNNNNNNNNNNNNNNNNNNNNNNNNNNNNNNNNNNNNNNNNNNNNNNNNNNNNNNNNNNNNNNNNNNNNNNNNNNNNNNNNNNNNNNNNNNNNNNNNNNNNNNNNNNNNNNNNNNNNNNNNNNNNNNNNNNNNNNNNNNNNNNNNNNNNNNNNNNNNNNNNNNNNNNNNNUUUUUUUUAUUACUUACUUAUAAUAAUAAAUCCUUAUAUAUUUUGUAAAUAAAAUCUAAUUGACCAUUUUUCUAAUUGAAUAAUAAUAAUAAACCUAUUAAUCUAAUAAUUUGAUAUUUUCUAUAAUCUUUAUUUAUUUUGUAAAUAACUAACUUAAUAUUUUUCAUAUAACUCUUUUAUUUUAUAAUUUGUACAUUAAUGUAUUUUAAAUUCUUUUAUUAUUACUAAUUUAUUUUAAACUCAUAUUUUUCUAAUAACUUCUAAAAAAAUCUAACUUGUUUAACCUAAAAUAAUUUCUUUUAAAAUUCUAACCUUUUUAUUAUCACUUUAUUAUUAUUGUUAUUUUAUUAUUGCUUUAUUACCAUUGUUUAUUUAUUAUUUUAUUAUUAUUUGCUUUUAUCUAUUCUAUUUUUGCUUCAUUAUUUUCCUUAUUUUAAUUUUGUUUUAUUUAUAAUAUUAGGAACAAAUGUAUAGGUUGUAAAUUUAUUCUUUCUCGCCUGAUUAUUAUGUAUCUAUCACAUAGCCAUGUAAUAGUUAGGAAUUUAUUUUUCUUGCUUUUAUUUUUGUAAAUAUUUAUUGCGUAGUUAGUAAUUUAGGGAGUGCAAAAAACUAACUAUAAAUAAUUGAACUUAGAAAAUUAAAUUCAAGACAAAUAUCCGAAAAAUAACACUCACACACGUAGGUCGAUCUUUGAUCGCCAUCUGUACUUCCUAGGGUAUUCCUCUUGGUUGCCUUCUUUAAAUGGUCAAGUCCCUCGAAAAUAGGGGGUGUCUUAAGCAAAGUCCCUUCAAACCGAAAAAUCAUCAAGUCCCUAUAAACUUAAAAGAUCAAGUCCAUACGAGGUUGCCUACGAUAUAAUGAUCUUGUCCCUUCGGUAAAUAUGAUGAUAGUCCCUACGAGUUGCUAAAGACACCCCUUAUGUUGCCUUCAUUGACCAUACGAUGACCCUACGCCCGUCCCUUAAACACAUCCAAGGUAAUGACUACCUAUUCCUUAAUAAUAGGGACAGUCUUACCAUUGAAAGAAUAUACGAGAACACGAAAGACUUAAUCUAGGGUAGGUAUCUCAUAGUUACUUGCUCACACUUUUCAAAAUUACUUUUACACCUCACAAUUUCUAAACUAGGCUUUGUAUACACCCAUACGAGGGUCAUUACAAAGUACUUAAAGAAAUUUUUCUAAUCACACACUACACUCUUGCAAACAAACAAAGUGAGCUAAGUAACUAAGAGCCCAUGGAUAACCAUGGAUAUAAAGGGUGCUAAUACCUUCCCUUUGUAUAACCUACCCCCCGAACUCAAAAUCUUUUUAAGGUCUUUCCUGUUCUUUUAUGUCUUUUCCUUUUGGAUAAAAUAAAAGUCGGUGGCGACUCUUGCUAUCCGCAACAUUUAACUAAAGUCAGUUCUCCCACCGUGUUACAGGGAUCCCUGCGCGAACCUACAAGAAACUAAAACACACCCAAACAAAGGAAAUUGUUAAAAAUAAAAAGCGUAUGUUGCCUCCCACGAAGCACUUCAUUUAGCGUCGCAUGGCUCGACGGUCGUCCAUCUUAUCCUGUAAGAUGAACAUUGUCUAUCAACUCACUCUCUUGUCCUUUGUAAUAAUGCUUCAAUCUUUGUCUACUCACUUUAAAUGUGUCCCCGUUAGUUUGAUUUUUUAGUUCUAUCUCUCCAUGGGGAACACUAUGUGAACCAAAAACGGACCGGACCAUCUAGACUUCAAUUUUCCAGGAAAAAGUUUCAACCUGGAAUUAAACAAUAAUACCAACUGUCCCUCCACAAAUUCCUUUCUUAGGAUCUUCUGAUCAUGCCACUUUUUUGUUUGCUCUUUAUAAAGUUUGGAAUUCUCAUAAGCCUGAUUCCUAAAUUCUUCUAGCUCAUGGAGUUGAAGAAUUCGGAAUUUACCAGCUUUGACAAGAUCAUAGUUCAAGAAUUUGAAAACCUAAAAUGCUUUAUGCUCUAACUCGAGCGGAAAGUGACAAGCUUUACCAUACACUAACUAAUAGGGGGACAUACCUAUAGGAGUUUUGAAUGCUGUUCUGUAUGCCCACAGUGCAUCUUCCAGCUUCACUGCCCAGUCUUUUCGAGACGCACAAACAGUCUUUUCAAGGAUUUGCUUUAUCUGCCUAUUAGACACUUCAACCUGGCCACUCGUUUGAGGAUGAUACAGGGUGGAAAUCUUGUGCUUAAGAUUGUACUUCUUUAGCAUAUUUUCCAUCAACUUGUUUAAGAAAUGGGUACCUUCAUCACUGAUAAGUACUCUUGGUACUCCAAAUCUUGAGAAAAUAUUGUUCUUAAGGAAAUUCACUACAACUCUGGAAUCAUUAGUGGGUAACGCUACCGCUUCUACCCACUUUGACACAUAAUCCACUACUACCAAGAUGUAACUCUUUCCAAAUGAGGGUGGAAAUGGUCCCAUGAAGUCUAUUCCCCACACAUCAAACAAUUCCACCUUCAGCAUGGAGUUCUGCGGCAUCUGAUUCCUCUUAGAAAUAUUUCCUGUUCUUUGACAUCUGUCGCACUCCUUUACCAUGUCUUGGACAUCUUUGAACAGUGUAGGCCAAUAUAAACCUGACUGGAGGACUUUAGCUGCAGUUCUGUCACCACUAAAGUAUCUUCCAUAGUCCGAGUCAUGACAAGCACUAAGAACAUCUCUUUGUUCCUCCUCUGGGACACAUCUUCUGACCAAUCCAUCUACUCCUCUCUUGUAUAGGAAUGGGUCAUCCCACAAAUAGAACCUGCAAUCAUGUAAAAACUUUUUCUUCUUGUUAGAAUCAAAAUCAUUAGGGAUUACACCACCUACUAGAUAAUUCACAUAGUCUGCGAACCAAGGGAUACCAAUAACAUCGAGGAUGUGUUCAUCAGCAAACUCAUCCUUUAUUGGUCUCUUGUUUUCCGUUUCUUCAAUUGGCGACAUUCGAGACAAAUGAUCGACAAUAGUGUUUUCACAUCCCCUUUUGUCCCUAAUUUCCACAUCAAACUCUUGGAGGAGCAAGAUCCAUAUCAGAAGCCUCAACUUAGAAUCAUGUUUAGCAAAUAAAUAUUUCAAAGCUGAGUGGUCAGUAUAAACAACCACCUUAGAUCCUAAUAGGUAUUGCCGGAAUUUAUCAAAUGCAUAAACCACUUCUAAUAACUCCUUCUUGGUAGUUGCAUAGUUCAUCUGCGCAGGGUUCAGCACAUGACUAGCAUAGUAAAUAACAUGUAACAGCUUCUCUCUCCGAUGUCCUAAAAUUGCCCUCACAACAAUAUCACUGGCAUCGCACAUGAUCUCAAACGGGAGAGACCAAUAUGGGGAAAUCACAAUUAGUUCUGACACUAAUUUGUUUUUUAAUGUCUCAAAAGCUUCAACACACUCUUUAUCAAACACAAAAGCCUUAUCCUUAACCAAUAGAGUGGUUAGAGGUUUGGCUAUCUUAGAGAAAUCUCUUAUGAACCUGCGGUAAAAACCCAUAUAUCCUAAGAAACUCCUUAUACCUUUUUCGUUUAUCGGAGGUGGAAGUUUUGAUAUCACCUUAACUUUUUCUUGGUCAACUUCAAUUCCCUUGUAGGAAAUUUUGUGACCCAACACUAUACCUUCUCGCACCAUGAAAUGACACUUCUCCCAGUUCAGGAUCAAAUUCGUUUGCUGGCACGUGUCUAAAACAAGAGAGAGUUUAGUCAAAUAAUUAUCAAACGAAGACCCAAAGACCGAAAAAUCAUCCAUGAACACUUCCAUAUGCUUUUCAAGCAUGUCAGCAAAAAUGGAAGUCAUGCAUCUUUGGAAGGUAGCUGGUGCACUACACAACCCAAAUGGCAUUCUUCUGUAUGCAAACGCACCAUAGGAACAUGUGAAUGUUGUCUUCUAUUGAUAUUCCGAAGCAACCGCAAUCUGAUUGUACUUGAAGUAUCCAUCUAGAAAAUAGUAGUAAUCAUGACCAGCUAGCGUUUCCAACAUUUGAUCAAUGAAUGGCAAAGGGAAGUGGUGUUUCCUUGUCACAAUGUUUAACCUCCUGUAGUCAAUACUCUCCAACCUAUAACCGUCCUUGUAGUAAUUAACUCAUUCUUCUCGUUUUUGAUGACGGUGGUUCCCCUUUUUUUGGGCACCACAUGCACCAGACUCAUCCAUGAGAUGUCAGAUAUAGGAUAAAUAAGACCAACAUCUAACAACUUCACCAUUUCUUUUCGAAACACUUCUUUCAUUGCUGGGUUAAGUCUCCUUUGGGGUUGGACCACUGGUUUAUGAUCAUCUUCCAUGAGAAUUUUAUGCAUGCACACCGUAGGGAUAAUACCUUUCAAAUUCUCAAUUUCCCAUCCGAUAUCAUUCUUGUAUUUUUCAGAACUUGGAUGAGUUUCUCUUCUUGGAUAUUCUUGAGGCUUGAAUUUUAUAUAACUGGGCAUUUACCUUCGGUAUGGAGGAAGACAUAUUUGAGAUUCUCGGGAAGUUGUUUCAACUCCGUCCCGUUUUUGGACUCUUUAUUCUCUUUUGAUGAUUGAGGUUGCCUUAGAUCUUCCCACCGAAGUGGUCGAGAUCCUUUCCAAGGAGGUUGUGCCUCCAUCAUGGCUAGCACUUCUGAUUCUUUGUUGUCAACUUCUUUAUCACUUUCAAAAAUGGACAAGCUCAACACUCUUUCCAAAGGUAAUUGCAGUGCAUUCAAAGGACUAUCAAAUGCAAUUACUUGAUCUAUCACCUCUAUUGUAUGACUAGUGCCAAUAUCAUCUUUGUAUUCCAUGGUGUUUCGAAGAUCAAUUUUUAAUUCCUCAGCAUAGACCUUCAAAGCCAUAGUACUUUCCUCUAUGUCUAUCAAACACCUCCCCGUCUCUAAAAAGGGUCUCCCAAGAAUGAAAGGAAACUCUUCAUCUUCGGGCAUCUCUAGAAUCACAAAAUCCACUAGGAAUACAAACUUAUCAAUCUUCACUAGAACAUCCUCAACUAUCCCAUAAGGUUUCUUGACCAAAUGAUCGGUAAAUUGAAGUGUCAUCUUGGUGUCUUGCACAACCCCUAUACCCAAUUUCUUAUAAAUGGAUAAAUGUGUAAGACCCUAAUUUUGACCCUAAGAUCCCUCAUGCAAUUUCAUCAUAAGCAUUAGCAUUGGGAUCAUACCUUGGCACCCUCCUUACCCCUCUUUCCUUGGGUUUGUUUUGGGAGAGAUCACCAAUCUCUAUGUGAUUGUAUCAUACUUGUAUAUUAUCAUUUUACUAACCAAAACACCAAAAAUAUAUCUUUGUAUUUGCCUAAAUCUUUUGUAGGUAGGGCAUGAUCACUAUUGAUCUAUCAAGUUCAUAUCCAAGGUUUGAGACCCUCAUGACAAAGAGCACAACCAUGAAUUGAUCCAAGAAUGGUUAUGAGCAUCAUAUAUGAGUUCCAUUAUAUUGAUCAAGUUUUCUUCAAGAGUUUGAAAGUGAUUUGCCUUGGAAACCCUAGUUUGACUGGGUAUCUUAAGUAACUUCUCCAACAAGAUAUCUCACCAAUUGAUCAAAUUUCUCAAGGUACACUUCAAAAUUAAUCAUCUUAUGCAUAUAUGAUCUACCAUGAACCAAGAAAGUCCAAAUAAUCGAAGGUUAGCAAGUUGGUUGAUGGUGGUUGGCCAGAUGAAUUCAUCUCAUCAAAACUGGGUCUCCCUAGACCCUAUCUCCUACAAUUUUCACCAUAUGAAAAUUAUUCUAAGAGAAAAGUUACUCUAAAUUAUAUUCCAAACAACUUUCAUGUUGAUACCUAGAGCUAGUUUUUCUUGGAAAAUCAUUUUCUAUGUUGAAACAUUAUAGGUCAUUUUGUCUAAACCCUAAUUUGAAAGUCAACUUCCCAAGGACAUAACUUGCUCAAUUUUAUGAUAUAAAAUAUUUCCAAGUUGUACAAUAAAAUUCAAUAUGUCUACUUCAACUUUGAUAUUUGGAGUGAAAUAAAAUUCAACUUUUAUGAGCAUGUGAUAUGAGGAUACAUUAUAGGUCAUUUUUGACCUAUACCAUUGAACAAGUGAUUUUUAUCAACUUCAAAAAUGCAUAACUCUAUCAUUAUAAAUCAAAAUAACAUGCUAUUUGUGACCAUUUUGAAGGUCUUUGAAAUACCUACAACUUUGAUGAAUACACUUUUCUCAUUUGAAGCUCACAUAAAGAGUUAAGCAAGGUGGAAUAUUGAGAUAUAUGGCUUGACACUUAGAAAAUUUUUCAACAUGUUGAAAUUUCUAAACUUCCACCUCAAAAUUCUCCAUGUUCCAAGCUCCAAAUGAAAAAGUGUUCAACAUCAAACUUGUUCCCCUAUAUCCAAGUUUUCCAAAGAACCCAAGUUCAUGCGUUUUGGACAAAGAUUGCUAGGUCUGUGUAUGGCUUUAACAGGGUUGCAUCAUUGGAAAGAAUAAAUUGUACAAACUUCAGUUCAUAAUGCCUUGCCAUUCAAGCUUCAUUCAAACUUCAAUUUGAAUCAUUUUUGGACCUUAAUGCAUUGCAUCAUCGGGUUGUACAUGCCUAUGCACUCGUGCCAUCCACAUUGCCAAUUUUGGAUAGAUUUUGAAGUGUGAAAAUAUCAUUCCCUUUGGCUAUAAAUAGAAGGCUUAUGAGCUCAUUUGAAUCACACUUUGCGCGCCAACUUUGCCCCCAUUGAAACCCUCUCAUUCUAAAGGAAAACCUGAGAGAUUUCAAUUUGAAAUUUGAGUUUGAAUCUCAACUGUUGGAGAUUCAAGAACUCCAGGAUCCACAACCUUGCAACCUCUCUAAUCACUUCCUAUUAGCUUCUCAAGUGUGAUCAGAUCGUGUUUGAAGCAAGCAACAUCAAGAAUUGCAUAGUGUUGAAGGUAAUUUUCAGAAAACUUCAUCUCUUCGAUUCUCACUCAAUUCUACUCAAUUCUCUUGGAUCCUUGGCUGUCUGAAGUCCUACAAAUGUAGGCAAAAAGAUUGAGUUGCUUAGAGGUCAAAUCGAAGCAACUCAGUUGACACACCUCAAAAUUCAACUCCUCAUAUUUUUUUUAUAUUUGGAGUUAGUUGAAAUUGAGGUCAGAUUCGUGCUCUACGUCAUUUUUUCUUUCAGAUCAUGUCCUCCUUUUUUAUUUUAGUGAUGGUUGAGGGUGGACCAGUCCGGUGAGGUCCACCGGAGAAGAAGACCGGAGCUACAACUCCGGCCGUGUGUUGGCACGUCUUAAACCAUAUGAUCCUUGCAAAACAUUUUAAUUUCAAGCCAUUUACUCUAAUGUCAUUUAAUUUUAGUCUUUAUUCAUUUUCCAUUAUUCAUACCAUUCUAAUUGUUUAUGUUAAUGCAAUUUUCACUUUGUUCACUUGGACCAUAUUGUGUGAUAUAUUCCAUUUUGUGUAUACUUUGUUUGUUUGUGUGGUCUUUGACCAUUAAUGUACAUAAUAAUAACAAAAAUCCUAAAAACUUUUAUGUGGACUGUUAACUUGAUCUUGGACAAAUGGACUUAGAACUUAGGCAACAUUCCUAUGCUAAAGGACUUGGCCAAUGCCAACUUUUGUGAAAACCAAGUGAUUGCAAUUUGAAACUUCAUCUGAUACAUCAUUCAAGAUCCCUUUGAGUUCAUCUACAACUUAAUCAUUGUGAAACUGUUAUUUUGAACCUGUGACUUGUGGAAUUCAUCUGUUACAUGGGCUAAUUUGAAGAAGAUCAUGGAGUGGCUAAGCUUGGAUGUGGCUAUCUUUAUUUGAUGCCGUUCUCUUCAAGAUUAAUAUAAUUGUGCAUUUGUGUGUUGCUUGAUUCUAAAUGUCCAAGGGAAUCUGGGUUUCUAUUGACAUUCUUGUCUAUUGGAUUGCUACCCAUUGGUCAGAUCUUUUCAACUCUUAACUUUUAAUUAUGACAUUCUUGUCUAUUGGAUUGCUACCCAUUGGUCAGAUCUUUUCAACUCUUAACUUUUAAUUUUGUGCAUAGGAUUAGUCUCUUCAUCUUCUCCCCAUUUCUUAAAUUUCAAAAUCUCUCCCUCCUUUUAAAAUUUUCUUUGUUUGAACUUAUUUUGUUCUAUACUUUGACCACUUUGCAAAAAGAUAGAAACUUUGGCCUUAUGCCAUUGCAUUUUCAAACUUCUUUUUUUAAAUCAAAUUUGUAAAUAAACUUAACUAUAUUUGACUUAAACUUCCAAGAAAGGCCAAAAAGAACUAACUCAUUCAAACCAUUUUUAGGCCUUUGUACCUUUCAAACAUAGUUUUUGUUAAAAGCAAUGCAUCCACUUUGAAACUUGUAUCACGAACUACGAGGUUUUGAUCCCUCAUUUUUAUGUUGGUACGUAGUCACAAGUCCGAAGGUCUUGUCAAACACAAAAAUAUAAUUAAUGAAUUCUUUUCUCAUCCCCCAUUCUAUUUGUUUGUAAACAUCAUUUUGUACCAAAUACAUAUGCACACAAAAAGGGCUCCCUAGGAUAAUUAAUGAAUUCUUUUCUCAUCCCCCAUUCUAUUUGUUUGUAAACAUCAUUUUGUACCAAAUACAUAUGCACACAAAAAGGGCUCCCUAGGAGUACCUAUGACACUUUGGGUGCUAACACCUUCCCUUUGUUUAACCAACCCCUUACCUAUAAUCUCUGACAUUUUAUUAGUUUUGAUUUGAAAACUUCUUACUUUUGGGUUUUGUUCGUACUUUUCCCUUUUCCUUUGGAAACAAUAAAAGCGCGGUGGCGACUCUGGUUUUGUUGAUGUCUAGCUCAUCCAUAGCUUGAUGAUCAUGAAUUUACCGCUAUAGGAAUUAAGUAGCGACUCUACUGGGGAUGUGUAGCCUCCAGUGGGUUUAGCCUACUUUUUGUGUGUAUAUAUUUGUAUAUAUGUAUGUGUGAUAUAAUCUGCUUGUUAUGCUUGGUGAUCUCUGAGUGGUGAGAUAAGUUCUAACCUGAACUUGAGUGCAAUUAAGAUAUGAGGAUGGUAUAGUCAUGUUCGACUUGUGUGGAGUAGUCCUUAACAAGUUGGUUUGAGAUCCAUAUGCUCAGUGGAGACCCUUUUGGAUUUGGAAAUGUCACACAAGUAUUUGUGGUUAGGCAUUACUAUCUCUAAUUUGGGUCUGAGAAGCGGAGGACCGUAGAAUAUUUACCCCUCUUGGACUAUUUAGGACGUAGUGCGGAGGCUGUUCACGUGUAGACUUGAUGACAGUUGUUACACGAUACUACACUCAGACGAGUUUCUCUUGAGAAUAUUAUGGGUCGAUGAGUCAGUCAUCUUAACCUGUAAUAUCCGAUAGAUGGAAUUAAGACUCUGGGAACUUUUUUGAACAUGAUUUACAUGUUUUUAUCCUUAGUUCACUCCUUUGGGAUGGUUCUUACCCAGACUCCAUGCUCGUGACUUACAACAAACCCUUGAUUCUUGGUUGAUCCAAUCAAGUCUUGUCAAUAUUAAUGGAACUUGGGUGUUGACCUUAGUUCACUCCUUUGGGAUGGUUCUUACCCAGACUCCAUGCUCGUGACUUACAACAAACCCUUGAUUCUUGGUUGAUCCAAUCAAGUCUUGUCAAUAUUAAUGGAACUUGGGUGUUGAUAAGGUAUAAACCAUAAUCCACCAAAAUGGAUGAUUAAUCUUGACAAUGACUUGAUUCAUCCCUUGACCUUUGUUUGUUUGCCUUGUGUGUGAUCCCUUAUCUGUGAUUGUUGCAUUCAUGCACAUCAUAACAUUCAUCAAAUGAAAAUUUCAAGGAACUGAGGUAUUAUUUCCAAAUAUUUUCAGACCAUGGAUUAUGGACGAAGGAACACUAAGAAGUACAGUUUCAGAUGUCCCGACAUGAAAGGGUUAAGGAAGCUAGCAUCUUUUGUAUUAGAUCCCUUGGACUUCAAACAACGCCAUGGGAAGCUUUUGUCUAUCUUGUCUACCGAUGUGGUUGAAGGACUUUGAGUGUGCUAGUGCAGUUCUAUGAUCCUCUCUACCGUUGUUUCACUUUCCCAGAUUUUCAGCUUGUGCCUACAUUGGAGGAGUAUUCUCAUCUUUUGGGGAUACCUAUUUCUAGUAGAGUGCCUUUUAGUGGAUUAUACAUUGGAGGAGUAUUCUCAUCUUUUGGGGAUACCUAUUUCUAGUAGAGUGCCUUUUAGUGGAUUGGAGGAGAUUCCCCGAUCUAAUCUUAUUGCUGAAGCUCUUCACUUGAAGAAGUCUGAGAUAAAGGCUCAUUGGGUGAAGAAAGGAGGGUUAUUUGGGUUGCCAUCUGAUUUCCUCAUCAAGGAAGCUACUGCUUUUGCUCAAGCUGGUAGUGUGGAUGAUUUUGAAGCUAUCUUUGUAUUGCUCAUUUAUGGAUUAGCUUUGUUCCCUAACAUUGACGGUUUUGUUGAUGUUAAUGCCAUUAGACUUUUCUUGAUUGGGAAUCCUGUGCCUACUCUGUUGGGUGAUAUGUAUUUCUCUUUGUAUCUAACGAAUUCUAAGGGUGGUGGAACUAUUGUCUGUUGUAUUCCUCUUCUGUACAAGUGGUUUAUUUCGCACUUGCCUCAGACACCUGCUUUUGUGGAGAACAAACAAUGUCUACGAUGGUCUCAGAGACUUAUGUCUCUCACUAAUGAUGAUAUAGUUUGGUAUGAUCCCUCUUUGAGCAGUUUGAAGAUUACUGAUAGUUGUGGUAAAUUCUCUAAUGUGACUCUCAUUGGUACACAAGGAGGAAUUAACUACAACCCUGCUUUGGCUCGUCGUCAACUUGGGUUCCCCUUGAGAGAUAAACCUAAUAACACUUUGUUAGAAGGUCUUUUCUAUCAAGAGGGUAAAGAUCCAUCAUUGGUACACAAGGAGGAAUUAACUACAACCCUGCUUUGGCUCGUCGUCAACUUGGGUUCCCCUUGAGAGAUAAACCUAAUAACACUUUGUUAGAAGGUCUUUUCUAUCAAGAGGGUAAAGAUCCUCAACAUUUGAAGCAGAAGAUUUUGCCUGCUUGGCAUAAUAUGCAUAGGAAAGGAAGAUCUGAGCUUGGUCCACGCAAUUGUCUAGCUUUGGAAGCUUACACUCUUUGGGUGAAGAAGAGAGCUUUGGAGUUGAAGAUGCCCUAUCCUUGUGAAAGAACUAUGUCUAUGGUUGUGGUUGAGCCAUUAAUUCUCCCUAACCAAGAUAUAGAGGAGUUGGAAGACACACUCGUCAAGAUGAAGCAAGAUAAGGAUAUGUGGGAAAAGCGUUUCCGUGCUUUGAGCCAGAAGUAUGAAGAGUUGCAGUUGGAGUCUAAGGACAAAAAUGCACUUAGUGAGCUACUUGAAGACCGAGUGACAAAGAGACAGAGAGAUCGAGAGGUUUCAUCCUCUAGCAUGCCUCAGCCUUCCGUUGCUUGGAAGAAGAUUGUUGAUCAGCUUGUCCUCGAGAAGACUCAGAUGAGGACUUCUUUUGAGACCGAGAUCCGUCGCAUUCGAAGGAAGUACGCGCCUUCAGCUAGGUCUUCUGACAUUGUUGUUAGGGAUCCUUAGGAUGACUAGUCUCCUUUUCUCUUGUAUUUUCCAUUUGGUUUCUGAAAUUGUACUCAGUGUAAUCCUUCAGAUUAUAUAAAUGAAAAUAAAUUUUUGGUCAUAUAAAAAUUAUUGCAAUUGUUGAUAUAUAUAUUUGCAAAUGAUAUAGUAAGUUCCUUGAAAAUAAAAAUAAAUAAAUAAACAAGCAUUGCAUUUCAUGCAUCAUUUGCAUAAACAAGUUUCUAUUUUGCCAGAUGUCUCAUUGGUGUUUCUUCUGUGCUUUAGCCAAGCUGACUCAUCGGUACAAUACCCGCGCCAAUCAUCUGAAAUUAUGGAGCAUCUAGAGCAAGAGAACAGAGAGCUGAGGAUGAGAUCUCCCGCCUGACUGCCAUGAUGUAGUCCGUUCUUGCUGCUCAGAGCCAAGCUUCUCCAACGCCUGCAACUCCUCCUCAUCAGAGGACUGUUAUUUCAGAGGUGGCUACCUCUACCAUGCCUGCCGCUACCGCUCAUUUUGCACCCACUAUGCCUGCCGGAUUCCCGUGGGGAAUGUCAGCAAACUUUAUGCCUGAAGUCUUUGCGCCUACAUUUGCUUCCAUGCCGGCAUCUAUCCCGAUCAUGUCUGUGCCACCUCCCGUUGUGCACACCUUACCUCGUGUAGAGGAUACAAUUUAUCACUCCGAGUUGUCUGAGGGUCCAGAUGUUUAUGAGAAAAUGGAUGAAAUGAGGGAUCAGUUUCUUGAGCUGCGCAAGGAAUUGAAGAUGCUAAGGGGUAAGGACUUGUUUGGAAAGAGUGCUGCUGAGUUGUGUUUAGUGCCCAACGUCAAGAUCCCGGUGAAGUUCAAAGUGCUUGACUUUGAAAAGUAUAAAGGGAACACAUGUCCACUCAGUCAUCUAGUGAUGUAUGCUCGCAAGAUGUCUACUCAGACUGACAAUGAUCAACUGUUGAUUCACUACUUCCAAGACAGUUUGACUGGUGCUGCGCUCAGAUGAUAUAUGGGAUUAGACAGUGCAAGCGUUCGUACUUUCAAUGACUUGGGAGAGGCUUUUGUCAAGCAAUACAAGUACAACAUGGACAUGGAGCCUGAUAGAGACCAGCUGAGGUCUAUGUCUCAGAAGGAUAAGGAGACGUUUAAAGAGUAUGCACAGAUAUAGAGGGAAUUGGCUGCCUAGACCACUCCUCCUUUGGAGGAAAAAGAGAUGACAAAGAUCUUUCUGAAAACUCUGAGUUCAUUUUAUUAUGAACGAAUGAUUUUUAGUGCCCCCAGUGACUUUACCGAAAUGGUAAACAUGGGGAUGAGGCUUGAGGAAGGAGUCCGAGAGGGACGUUUGUCGAAAGAUGAAGCAUCGUCGAGUAAGAGAUAUGGCAGCAAUUUUGGGAAGAAGAAGGACAAUAAAGCGAAUGCAAUAAGAAGUGGGAGGCAGAGGAGGCCUCAGAUCAGAAGGAAUCAACCAUCCCAUCAAAAUCAUCAUCAAGUAUCUUCAAUUAUCCCUGUAUUUUCUAAUCAACAAUCAACACCAGUUCAACAACCACAACAUCAACAACAACAACCACAACAACAAGCAAACACCUACAACAACAACAAUACCAACAACAAUCAUCAACAACAAAACUUUGAGAGGAAGAAGGUCUCUUUCGACCCGAUUCCUAUGUCUUAUGCAGAAUUAUACCCGUCUUUGGUUCUCAAGAACCUAAUCCAACCAAGAAACCCGCCGCAAAUUCCAGAACCACUUCCAUGGUAGCAGAAUUAUACCCGUCUUUGGUUCUCAAGAACCUAAUCCAACCAAGAAACCCGCCGCAAAUUCCAGAACCACUUCCAUGGUGGUACAAGCCUGAGCUCCGUUGUGCUUUUCAUCAAGGAGCACCCGGACAUGACAUUGAGAACUGCUCUCCGCUCAAGUAUGAGGUUCAGAAGCUGAUGAAGAGUGGAAUGGUGUCCUUCGAGGACCGUGCGCCAAAUGUGAAAGCAAAUCCACUACCCGCUCAUGGGAACUCUCUAUGAAUAUGGUGGAUGGUUGUCCUGGCGAGUUUAAGGUUUUUGAUGUUCGUUUUAUCCGGAGAUCCUUGGUGCAGAUGCAUAAGGACAUUCGUAUGGUGAGUGAUUGUGAGCAUGACCAUGAUGGUUAUGCUGUUUGCAGUAUUAAUUGAAGGGAUUGUGAAGUUGUGAAAAGGGACAUCCAACGACUGAUGGAUGAAGGCAUGAUUCAAAUUGUUCAAUCCCGUCAUGUAGAUGACGACGUGAAUGUCAUAGUGCCCAUUUUCAAGAAGCCAGAGAGAUUGGUAAUUUAGUACGACAGCAACAACAAUAACAAUGUCAACAAUAGAUCAGUAUCGCUGUUGGUUAUACGGUUAGCGGGCCUAGUCCCAUAUUCAUCUGAUAAAGCUGUGUCGUAUCAUAUAAUGCUACAAUGAUAGAAGGUGGUCAAGAGGUCUCAUUACCUACGGCUAGCUCUGUGGUGAGCAUUGCUGAUGUUACCAUGGUGACCCGCGGUGGUCGAGAGUUUGAGCCGGUGUUCCCAAAGGAUAAGGAAGAAUCAGUUGUUGGAAAGAAGGUGGAAGUGCCUGUUGUAAAUCUAGUUGGUACUUCAAAGGGUAAGUCUAGUGAAUCCAGCGAUUCGAAGGAUAACGAUGAUGAUGAGGUACUUCGUUUGAUCAAGAAAAGUGAGUUCAAUGUGGUAGAGCAGCUGCUCCAAACCCCCUAAAAAAUCUCAGUGUUGUCUCUGCUCAUGAGUUCUGAAGCGCAUAGAGAAGCACUGCAGAAAGUUUUGGAAUAAGCGUUUGUAGAACCUGAUGUUACAAUGGAUCAAUUAGAUCAUAUCGUGGCUAACAUCACUUCUUGCAAUAAUCUUAGCUUCUGUGAUGAAUAACUCCCCGAGGAGGGCAUAAAUCAUAAUCUGGAUUUGCACAUUUCUGUGAACUGCAAAGAAGAUGCUUUGUCGAAUGUGCUUGUUGACACCAGGUCGUCACUGAAUGUAUUACCGAAGUCAACCUUGUCAAAAUUGUCAUACCAAGGGGCGCCUAUAAGGUAUAGCAGUGUAAUCGUCAAAGCUUUUGACGGUUCACACAAAACGGUUAUUGGUGAAGUGGACCUUCCAGUUAAGAUAGGUCUGAGUGAUUUUCAAAUUACUUUUCAAGUAAUGGAUAUCCACCCGACCUACAGUUGCUUGUUGGGAAGGCCAUGGAUCCAUGAGGCAGGAGCUGUUACCUCCACUUUGCAUCAGAAACUUAAAUUUGUGAAGAAUGGGAAGCUUGUGAUUGUUGGUGGGGAGAAGGCGCUGUUGGUUAGCCACAACUUUGCAUCAGAAACUUAAAUUUGUGAAGAAUGGGAAGCUUGUGAUUGUUGGUGGGGAGAAGGCGCUGUUGGUUAGCCACCUGUCAUCUUUCUCUUAUGUUGAAGCUGAGGAUGAGGUUGGAACUCCGUUCCAGGCCUGAUCUAUUACUACUGAAAAGAGAGUUGGGGUACAUAUGUCCUCAUUGAAAGAUGCCAAGAAGAUUGUUGAAGAAGGUAAUGUUGAUCAGUGGGGGCGCAUGGUAGAGGUCUCCGACAAUAAAGGCAGAACCAGUUUGGGGUUCCAAAAAGGUUCAUCAACUGCAAGGUCUGAAGAUAUGCAACUUACCUUCUGUAGCGGAGGGUUCAUUCAUGGAAAUGAACAACACUUAGCUGCUGUGCUACGGGUUGACGAAGAGGAAGACUGCACCAAUUUUGUGACGCAUGGAAAGGCAUGCAACAAUUGAUCAUUAAUAAAAUUCUAUUCAUCCACAUUUAUGAUGUUUUAUUGAUGUUCCUAUUAUUUUGCAUCGAUCUAAGUAAUUGCUUUUAUAUGUUUUCAAAAUCCUUCUCAUAUGCCUAAGGGAGAAGAGAACAUUGUUUGGGAAUUUUCAAAUUGAUCAUUAAUAAAAUUCUGUUCAUCCACAUCUAUGAUGUUUUAUUUUUACUUUUUGAUUUAUUCUGGAAAUGGUAAUCACGAAAAAACAUAAAUAAACAAUAUAAUUAUCCAUCUGCAUAAUAUUUGGUCACAAAUCCACUUCUCUAAAAUCAAAAUAUCAAAUCAUUAUGCAGGUUGGUUCCUAACCCCAUUGAUAUCCAUCUGCAUAAUAUUUGGUCACAAAUCCACUUCUCUAAAAUCAAAAUAUCAAAUCAUUAUGCAGGUUGGUUCCUAACCCCAUUGAAUACAAUGAUCCUUCUCCUUCUCCAAAUUUUGAAUUCCCCGUGUUUGAGACCGAGGAGGAAAGUGAUGAAGAAAUGAGUGAUGAAUUAUCUCGUCUUCUUGAGCAAGAUGAAAAGACCAUUCAGCCGUUCGAAGAGCAGAUUGAGUUAGUCAACUUGGGUUCCAAGGAUGAUGUGAAGGAAGUCAAGAUUGGGUUUCGACUGUGUCCAGAUGUCAAUAAGGGGUUGAUUGAUCUUCUUCGAGAGUAUACAAAUGUGUUUGCUUGGUCCUAUCAAGACAUGUCUGGUUUGGAUUCUAAGAUUGUGGAGCAUAGAUUGUCGUUGAAGCCAGAAUGCCCGCCAGUCAAGCAGAAAUUGAGAAGAAGGCAUCCUGAGAUGGCUGUGAAGAUCAAAGAGGAAGUGCAGAAGAAAAUUGAUGCUGGUUUCUUUGUAACCGCUGAGUAUCCGCAACGGGUGGCCAAUAUUGUGCCCGUUUCGAAGAAAGAUGGAAAAGUCCGCAUGUGUGUUGAUUAUAGAGAUUUGAAUAAAGCCAGUCCAAAAGAUGAUUUCCCUUUGCCACACAUUGAUAUGUUGGUAGACAAUACUUCUAAAUUCAAAGUCUUUUCGUUUAUGGAUGGAUUUUCCGGAUAUAAUCAGAUCAAGAUGGCACACGAGGAUAUGGAGAAGACUACAUUCAUUACACCUUGGGAAGCAUUCUGUUAUAGAGUGAUGCCUUUCGGUCUAAAGAAUACUGGUGCAACUUACCAAAGAGCAAUGACUACUCUUUUUCAUGAUAUGAUGCAUAAAGAGAUUGAAGUUUAUGUCGAUGACAUGAUUUCUAAAUCGAUUGAUGAAAAGGAACAUGUUGAGAAUUUGUUGAAGCUAUUCCAGCGUUUGAGGAAGUAUAAACUCCGCUUGAAUCCCAAUAAGUGUACUUUUGGUGUUCGUUCUGGUAAGUUGUUGGGCUUUAUUGUCAGCGAGAAAUGAAGCUAUUCCAGCGUUUGAGGAAGUAUAAACUCCGCUUGAAUCCCAAUAAGUGUACUUUUGGUGUUCGUUCUGGUAAGUUGUUGGGCUUUAUUGUCAGCGAGAAGGGUAUUAAAGUUGAUCCUGCAAAGGUCAAAGCAAUAUAAGAGAUGCCUGCGCCCAAAACUGAGAAGCAAGUCAGAGGUUUUCUCGGCCGCUUGAAUUAUAUAUCCAGAUUCAUUUCCCACAUGACUGCCACAUGUGCGCCUAUAUUCAAGCUCUUUCAUGAAGAUCAGUCUUGUGAUUGGACCAAAGAUUGUCAGAAAGCUUUAGAUAGUAUUAAAGAGUGUUUGCUCGAACCUCCGAUUUUGUCUCUGCCUAUUGAAGGAAGACCGUUGAUCAUGUAUUUGACUAUGCUCGAAGAUAGUAUGGGUUGUGUUCUUGGUCAGCAAGAUGAGACUAGAAAGAAAGAAUUUGCAAUUUACUACCUCAGUAAGAAGUUCACCGACUGUGAGACUCUGUAUUCUAUGCUUGAGAAGACUUAUUGCGCAUUGGCUUGGGCUGCUAAGCGUUUGUGUCAAUAUAUGUUGAAUCAUACCACUUGGUUAAUAUCCAAAAUGGAUCCGAUCAAGUAUAUAUUUCAGAAGCCUUCUCUAACUAGGAGGAUUUCCCGUUCGCAGAUGUUAUUAUUAGAGUAUGAUAUCGAAUACCGAUCUCAGAAAGCGAUCAAAGGUAGUAUCUUGGCUGACCAUUUGGCUCACCAACCAAUUGAAGAUCACCAGUUAGUGCAGUAUGACUUUCCUGAUGAAGAGAUUUUGUACUUGAAAAUGAAAUAUUGUGAUGAACCAUUGCUUGAAGAAGGACCAGAACCUGGUUCCUAUUGGGGCAUGGUAUUUGAUGAAGCUGUUAAUCAAUAUGCUAAUGGCAUUGGGGCAGUGAUUAUUGCUCCUCAAGGCACACAUCUACCAUUUACAGCUAGAUUGACUUUCAAGUGUACAAACAAUAUGGCAGAAUAUGAAGCUUGCAUUAUGGGGCUUGAAGAGGCCAUGAAUCUCAGAAUCAAAUAUUUAGAUGUUUUUGGAGAUUCCGCUUUGGUUGUAAAUCAAAUAAAAGGUGAUUGGGAGACAAACCAACCUAGUUUGGUACAAUAUAGAGAUUAUGCGAGGAGGAUUUCAACUUUCUUUACAAAGGUUGAGUUUCAUCAUAUUCCUCGAGAUGAGAACCGGAUGGCAGAUGCUCUUGCAACGUUGGCGUCAAUGAUUGUGGUGAAGUUAUAGAAUGAGGUUUCCAAUAUGUCAGUGAUGCGUCUUGAUAGACCAGCUCAUGUGUUCGCUGUUGAAGAAGUCAAAGACGAUAAGCCUUGGUAUUUAGACAUCAAAUCUUUCCUCUAAAGUUAGAUUUACCCGUCUAGGGCAUCUUUGAAAGAUAAGAAGACUUUGAGAAGAUUAGUCGGAAAUUUCUACUUGAAUGGUGAUAUACUGUACAAGAGAAACUUCGACAUGGUUUUGCUCAGAUGCGUGGAUAGACACGAAGCAGACUUGUUGAUGACUGAAGUGUAUGAAGGUUCCUUUGGUACUCAUUCCAAUGGACAUGCAAUGGCAAAGAAGAUGUUGCGAGCAAGUUACUAUUGGCUGGAAAUGAAAUCUGACUAUUGGAAGUUUAUGAAGAAAUGCCACAAGUGUCAAAUAUAUGCUGAUAAGAUUCAUGUUCCUUCGACACUAUUGAAUGUUAUUUCUUCCCCAUGGCCCUUCUCCAUGUGGGGAAUGGAUAUGAUUGGGAUGAUUGAGCCCAAAGCUUCGAAUGGACAUCGUUUCAUUUUGGUGGAAAUCGACUACUUCAUAAAAUGGGUUGAAAAGACAUCGUAUGCAAAUGUAACCAAGAAAGUUGUUGUAAGGUUUAUCAAGAAUUAGAUCAUAUGCCGUUAUGGUGUGCCAAGCAAGAUCAUUACUAAUAAUGGAUCGAACUUGAAUAACAAUAUGGUGGAAGCUCUUUGCAAAUACUUUAAGACUGCACAUCAUAAUUCUUCUCCCUACAGACCUAAGAUGAAUGGGGCCGUUGAAGCUGCAAAUAAGAACAUUAAGAAGAUUAUUCAGAAGAUGGUUGUCACGUAUAAGGAUUGACAUGAGAUGCUCCCGUUUGCUUUGCAUGGGUAUCAUACAUCCGUCCGCACUUCAACAGGGGAAACCCCUUUUCCUCUUGUAUAUGGUAUGGAAGCAGUGCUCCCCGUAGAGGUUGAGAUUCCUUCAUUGCGUGUGCUCAUGGAAGCCAAGUUGAUUGAGGUUGAAUGGUGUCAGACCAGGUUUGAUCAACUGAAUUUUAUUGAAGAGAAGAGAUUAACUGCCAUGUGACAUGGUCAGUUAUAUCAGCAGAGGAUGAAGAAAGCUUUUGAUAAGAAGGUCAGACCUCGGGUAUUCAGAGAAGGUGACCUUGUGCUCAAGAAGAUCUUGUCAUUCAAACCAGAUUCUAGGGGAAAAUGGACUCCUAAUUAACUUCCGGGUAUACAACAAUUCUCUCGGAAAAGUCCGCCACGAAACUAACUUACAACUAUGGAUGGUGAAGAGUUCACUCGUCCUGUGAAUGCAGAUGCAGUCAAGAAAUACUUCGCCUAAAAAAAGAAAAGAACAACUCGCUAAGUUAAAAACCCGAAAGGGCGGAUUAGGCAAAAAAGAGCAUCUCGGUGGAUUGAAAACCCGAAAGGGCGAUCCAGGCAAAAAUUAGAGACAUAAAAACAAAAAGAAUUUCCCGAUAAGUUGAGUACCCCACCUUGGGGCAACUUAUGCAAAAAUUGGGGAUCAUGGCAAGUAACUGCAGUCUGCUGAUCGACUAGUAUCGAAAAGACCUUAGUUGAGCACAAAGGUUGACGUCGAUUCAUAAUCCUAGUAGCGGUCAAGAGCAUAGUGGAUAUCAAGAGUUGGUAGAAGGAAUAAGGAUCAUUUGUAUUCAAUGUAACCCUUUUCCAUGUAAAUUACCAUUUUCAACUUUGUAAAAAUCUAUGGAGUCUUGUCAUUUACAGACUACCAUCCCAUUAAAUAAAAUUGAGCUUUUGUCCAAUUGUUCCUACUCUUAUUUACUUCAGCCAAUAGUUUAAAUUUUAUUAUGAUCAUUUUGGAAAUUUAAAAUUUUUUAAUCAAAAUAUUUUUUUUUCUUAAAACAUAUAAAAACAAGAAAUUUGUCAAAGCAAUUAAAAGGAAGUAUCAAUAGCAUGUUAAAGAGUAGCAAGUCCUUAAGUGCUAAGCAUCAGAGGAUCCCCAAGCAAUUAACCCUUCAGGUAUCCCUAGUUGUUUGUGUUGAUCUGGUUCCCCUACGGAGUGUUUGUUCCUUAGCGGAGUUUCGAUUCUUUCCCCAACUGAGUUGGUUGAUUCAGUACCUUGCGGCGUGUUAUUUCACCGACAGAGUUUCUGUGUUCCCCAGUGGAGUUUGUGUUUCUUCAGCAGGGUUGAUCUUCAACAAAGUAAGAUGUUUUCCCCAGUAGAUUGUGUUGGUUCCCCCCACCAGUCGCCAUCAGACUCGCUCCUAGUCAGAGUUUCCUCCUGGUUUCUGAGCAGCUAUUUGUGUUUAUUUUCUGUAUGGUUGUCUCCCAUUUGAUAUGGCGUUGACUUAAAAUUCCCUGCAGGCUCGAUAACAUUUUCCCUCCUCAACAGAUCUCCUCUUCCCUCGGCUAGAUUUGAGCCUUUGGGUUGUUGAUCUCUCUGUUCUCCAACAGUUGUCUCCCUCUCUUUGCGGAUUGACCGAGGAUUAUACUGAUGAUUCAAAUUAUUUGCGACACCUUUGUAUCCUUUGUGAUCGUUUUGUCAGCAUAAUCAUCAUAUAUAUACAUACACAUAUACAUUCAUAUAAUUUCAUAAUUGCAUAUUUACAUCAUCGUAUCCGAUUAACUUGUUGAUUUGAGAUUCUAAUUCUCUGUUAUGGAGGUACUUUAUCCCCAUACGAACUUUGGUGUCUGUCCUCCCUCAAUUGUAGAGUGUCAGCCCCUUAGGCAGAAGACUUUAACCUUUCUCCUCUUCCCCACUGAGUUGUUUCCUCGUGGAUGAUUAUUACUUCAGUUUCCUCCCUAGUUGUUUAUCUGGAUGGAAUCACUCCCCUUGAGUUAUAUCCUCAUUGGGUUGAGUCUUGAUUGACACAAAGAAAGAUCUAGUACGGUAGAUAGAUGCUUUGAGUCUCCUAAGAGCUUAUUACCCAGUAACUAGUAAUAUUCUUCUUAGUUUGCAGUUUGUUACUUCUUGCCCAAUACCCGACAUAAGUACCCCUGUUUUCCCAGUAGUGGAGUUCCUAGUGGAUUCAUUUGUUUCUGAUUCCCCAGGAAGUAUAUCCUUGAUAUGUUCAUCCUAACCGGUGACAGAUAUCUUUCUUUCCCCUGCCUGAGUCUAUCCUUGAUAUGUUCAUCUUAACCGAUAACAGAUAUUCUCAUCCUUGGUUUUCUACCCAGUAAAAAGGUAGUUGUAAUCCCUAUUGUGUUCCCCAGAGAGUUAAUCCUUGAUAUGUUCAUCCUAACCGAUGACGAGUUUCCUUCUCUUUGUGGUAUUCUACCCAGUAACCGGUAGCUGUAAACCCUACUUUUUCCCGCAGAGUCUAUCCUUGAUAUGUUCACUUUAACCGGCGACGGAUACUCUCUCAUGGUAUUCUAUCCAGUAACUGAUAGAUGUAAUUCCUAUUCUCUCCCUUCACAGAGUCUAUCCUUGAUAUGUUCAUCUUAACCGGUGAUGGAUUUUCUCUUUGAUGGUCUUCUAUCCAGCAUUCGAUAGAUGUAAUUCCUACUUGUUGUUCAGUUGGUAUAUCCUUGAUAUGUUCAUCCUAACCGAUGACGGGUAUCCUCCUUGACAGUCCCAGGAAAGUCUAUCCUUGAUAUGCUCAUCUUAACUGAUGACUGAUCUUCUUCCCUGUUGAGUCUAUCCUUGAUAUGUUCAUCCUAACCGAUGACGGAUAUUCUCACCUUUGGUCUUCCUCCCACUAAUCGGUAGUUGUAAAUCCUAUUUUCAGCAGUUUUCCCCAGCAAGGCUAUUCUUACCCAGUAACCGGUAAUGAAUACUCCCUCCUGAUAGUUCUCAGUGAGUCAUCCUUGAUAUGUUCAUCCUAACCGAUGACGAGUGUCCUCUCUGUCAGAUCUUUAUUAUCUCCUCACCCAGUAACAGGUAGUAGAUGAUAGAUUUCUGCUCCUCCUAUGUUGAAGUUUAUUUCUUCCCUAGUCGAGUUGAGUGUGCAUUUCCUUAGUGAAAUCGCUUUUCCGGCGUGAUUCAAGUACUUUAGUUUUAUCCUGACUUACUUGUAUCCCCCUGCAGAUGUUGUUGUUCCCCGGUUGAGUAUUUUCCAUGUUUGUAUGGAAUUCCUCGAGUCCCCCAAUAGUUUUAAGUCGUAGCCUGGCCUACGCAUAACUCCUUUAUCCCCUAGAGUCUCUGUCUCCCUAGUGAGUUUUCCUUACGGAAUGCAUUAUACUCCUGUGGACUUUCGGUCUCUCUGAUUUCUUUUCCUUUGUGGCAAUAUUUCCCCACAAAGAAUUUACUUUUACAUUCAUAUCAUUUGCAUCAUGAGGUCUUUAGGGACUAAAAUUUGUUUAUAUAUGUUGUUAUUUAAGCCCAUUAUACUGAGUCGACAUGAAGAUUUUAAGCUUUGCCUCCUCAGUUAGAAUGUCCUUAAAUAGGGGCAGCUGUAAGACCCCAAUUUUUACCCUAAGAUCCCUCAUGCAAUUUCAUCAUAAGCAUUAGCAUUGGGAUCAUACCUUGGCAUCCUCCUUACCCCUCUUUCCUUGGGUUUGUUUUGGUAGAGAUCACCAAGCUCUAUGUGAUUGUAUCAUACUUGUAUAUUAUCAUUUUACUAACCAAAAUACCAAAUCUUUGUAUUUGCCUAACUCUUUUGUAGGUAGGGCAUGAUCACCAUUGAUCUAUCAAGUUCAUAUCCAGGGUAUGAGACCUUCAUGACAAAGAGCACAACCAUGAAUUGAUCCAAGAAUGGUUAUGAGCAUCAUAUAUGAGUUCCAUUGAUUCCUACAUGAUAUAUUUAUCAAGUGUUCUUCAAGAGUUUGGAAGUGAUUUGCCUUGGAAAUCCUAGUUUGACGGGGUAUCUUAAGUAACUUCUCCAACAAGCUAUCUCACUAAUUGAUAAAAUUUCUCAAGGUACACUUUGAAAUUCAUCAUAUUAUGCAUAUAUGAUCUACCAUGAAACAAGAAAGUCCAAAGAAUUGAAGGUUAGCAAGUUGGUUGAUGGUGGUUGGCCAGAUGAAUUCAUCUGAUCAAAACUGGGUCUCCCUAGACCUUAUCUCCUACAAUUUUCACCAUAUGAAAACGAUUACAAGAUGAAAGUUACUCUAAAUGAUAUUCCAAACAACUUUCAUGUUGAGACCUAGAGUUAUUUUUGCUUGGAAAAUCAUUUUCUAUGUUGAAACAUUAUAGGUCAUUUUGUCUAAACCCUAAUUUGAAAGUCAAUUUCCUAAGGCCAUAACUUGCUCAAUUUUUAUGAGAUGAAAUAUUUCCAAGUUUAAAAAUAAAAUUCAAGAUGUACACUUAAACUUUUAUGUUUUGAGUGAAAGCAAAUUCAAAUUUUAUGAGCAUGUGAUAUGAGGAUACAUUAUAGGUCAUUUUUGACCUAUACCAUUGAACAAGUGAUUUUUCUCAACUUCAAAAAUGCAUAACUCUAUCAUUCUAAACCCAAAUGACAUGAAAUUGGUGACCAUUUUGACGGUAUUUGAAAGAGCUACAAGUUUGAUAAAGACACGUUUCUCAUUUGAAGCUCACAUAAAAAGUUAAGCAAGGUGGAAUAUUGAGAUAUAUGGCUUGACACUUAGAAAAAAUUUCAACAUGUUGAAAUUUCCAAACUUCCACCUCAAAAUUCUCCAUGUUCCAAGCUCCAAAUGAAAAAGUGUUCAACAUCAAACUUGUUCCCCUUGAUCCAAGCUUUCCAAAGAACCUAAGUUCAUGUAUUUUGGACAAAGUUUGCGUAUGGCUUUAACAGGGAUGCAUCAUUGGAAAGAAUCAAUUGUACAAACUUCAGUUCACAAUUCCUUGCCAUUCAAGCUUCAUUCAGACUUCAAUUUGAAUCAUUUUUGGACCUUAAUGCAUUGCAUCAUCGGGUUGUACAUGCCUAUGCACUCGUGCCAUCCACAUUGCCAAUUUUGGACAGAUUUUGAAGUGUGCAAAUAUCAAUUCCUUUGGCUAUAAAUAGAAGGCUUAUGAGCUCAUUUGAAUCACACUUUGCGGGCCAGCCUUUCCCCUAUUGAAACCCUCUCAUUCUAAAGGAAAACUUGAGAUAUUUCAAUUUGAAAAUUGAGUUUGAAUCUCAACUGUUGGAGAUUCAAGAACUCCAGGAUCCACAACCUUGCAACCUCUCCAAUCACUUCCUAUUAGCUUCUCAAGUGUGAUCAGAUCGUGUUGGAAGAAAGCAACAUCAAGAACUGCAUAACAUUGAAGGUAAUUUUCAGAAAACUUCAUCUCUUCGAUUCUCACUCACUUAUACUCGAUUCUCUUGGAUCCUUGGUUGUCUGAAGUCCUACCAAUGUAGGCAAGAAGAUUGAGUUGCUUAGAGGUCAAAUUGAAUCAACUCAGUUGACACACCUCAAAAUUUAACUCCUCGUAUCUUUUUAUAUAUUUGGAGUUAGUUGAAAUUGAGGUCAGAUUCAUGCUCUACACUAUUUUUUCUUUCAGAUCAUGUCCUCCUUUUUUAUUUUGGUGAUGGUUGAGGGUGGACUAGUCCGGUGAGGUCCACCGGAGAAGAAGAUCGGAGCUACAGCUCUGGCCGUGUGUUGGCACGUCUCAAACCAUAUGAUCCUUGCAAAACGUUUUAAUCUCGUGCGUUGGUUUUAAAUACCAUCCCUGCAACGCAUUGACUAGUGUCCAUUGUGGAACGCGCACUGAGGACUACUUGAUCUGCCACCUCAAUUAAUGAGGGAGAUCAAGUGGUCCACGUUUUUUUGCUAUUUUCUGAUUUUUAUUUUAAUCCUUUUAUUUUCAUUAAUUCAUAUUAAUUUUAAUAUUGAUCCAAAAAAUAUGAGAGUUUCACCAAAAAAUUUCAAAUAAUUUCCUCUUUCAUAUUUUGAAUUAAAUUAUUUUUGGACCAUUAUUAUAUUUUUUCAUGAUUUAAUUGAUUUGUGUGGUUUUUAAUUGUUUAAAAUACUUUUAGUCUUUAAAAUUCUGAAGUUUUUUCUCCAAGGUCCUUUGACCUUGUUUGACCUAUGAUAAAUCUCAUGGCCAUUUCUUUGGUGUUUUGAUGAGGUUUUAGGAAUUUGACAAACCAUAUUUAAUUUAAUUGUAUUAUUUUAGUCUUUUUAAUUUGAAUAAAUGUCAAUUAAUUGUGUUGACCAAUUGUGAUGAUUUGUUUGAGUUUGACUCUUGUUGUUGGGCCUUGGUAAAGGUUGAUUUGACUUUGUCAAGUUAAUAUCAUUGGAUUUAGGGGAUUGAUGGAAUGUACAUUCCAUCUUCCAAAAUGAAUGAAUGAUAUUAAUUUGGUAAAAGUCCUCCUUUGACUAAUUUGAGUUUUGAUCCAUUCCCCCCCUCUUCAUCUCAUUCCCAUUCUUUAUGCAUUAAUCACAUUUGGCCUAUGAUAUCUCAAAAUCCUAAGGCUAGUUGAUUGAAAAAUCAACAUAAGUAUGGAUGAGAUUAGGCCACCUCUUUUGCAUAUUCUUUUUGUGUGUGGUAUGUUUCAUGAGCAUAGUCCUAUGUCUCUAACAUGCAUUAACACCAAAUUCUAUUGCCCGACCCCAAAUAGUUGUGACUUCUAAUAAGUCCAAUUACGAUCCUGCUUUAACAUAACGCUAAAUUUGUGACACAAAAAGGCAUAGCAUUCUAGUUAGUGAGAUUGUAAGUCUCCCCUCUUUCAUGGUAUUGUGUGGAAACUUGGCCUUUUUUCCUUCCUUUGGAAGAUGUCUUGGCUCAAGGAUCCAUGCUUGAGAUAAGUGGGUUGAGUUUUCUCCAAAGAAUGAAAAUGAAAAGCAAAAGAAAAACAAUACUAACUUCUAACUCAUUAACAACUAACUUUUAAUUUCAAGCCACUUACUUUAAUGUCAUUUAAUUUUAGUCUUUAUUCAUUUGCCAUUAUUCAUACCAUUCUAAUUGUUUAUGUUAAUGCAAUUUUCACUUUGUCCACUUGGACCAUAUUGUGUGAUAUAUUCCAUUUUGUUUGUUUGUGUGGUAUUUGACCAUUAAUGUACAUAAUAACAACAAAAAUCCUAAAAAACUUUUGUGUGGACUGUUGACUUGAUCUUGGACAAAUGGACUUAGAACUUAGGCAACAUUCCUAUGCUUAAGGACUUGGCCAAUGUCAACUUUUGUGAAAACCAAAUGAUUGCAAUUUGAAACUUCAUAUGAUACAUCAUUCAAGAUCCCUUUGAGUUCAUCUGCAACAUGAUCAUUGUGAAGCUGUUAUUUUGAACCUGUGACUUGUGGAAUUCAUCUGUUACAUGGGCUAAUUUGAAGAAAGAUCCCUUUGAGUUCAUCUGCAACAUGAUCAUUGUGAAGCUGUUAUUUUGAACCUGUGACUUGUGGAAUUCAUCUGUUACAUGGGCUAAUUUGAAGAAGAUCAUGGAGUGGCUAAGCUUGGAUGUGGUUGUGCUUGAUUCUAAAUGUCCAAGGGAAUCUGGGUUUCUAUUGACAUUCUUGUCUAUUGGAUUGCUACUCAUUGGUCAGAUCUUUUCAACUCUUAACUUUUAAUUUUGUGCAUAGGAUUAGUCUCUUUAUCUUCUCCCCAUUUAUUAAAUUUCAAAAUCUCUCCCUCCUUUUAAAAUUUUCUUUGUUUGAACUUAUUUUGAUCUAAACUUUGACCACUUUGCAAAUAGAUAGAAACUUUGGCCUUAUGCCAUUGCAUUUUCAAACUUCUUUUCUUAAAACAAAUUUGUAAAUAAACUUAACUAUACUUGACUUAAACUUCCAAAAAAUGCCAAAAAGAACUAACUCAUUCAAACCAUUUUUAGGCUUUUGUGCCUUUCAAACUUAAUUUUUGUUAAAAGCAAUGCAUCCACUUUGAAAUUUGUAUCACGAAAUACGAGGUUUUGAUCCCUCAUUUUUAUGUUGGUACGUAGGCAUAAGUCCGAAGGUCUUGUCAAACAGAAAAAUAUAAUUAAUGAAUUCUUUUCUCAUCCCCCCAUUCUAUUUGUUUGUAAACAUCAUUUUGUACCAAAUACAUAUGCACACAAAAAGGGCUCCUUAGGAGUACCUAGGACACUUUGGGUGCUAACACCUUCCCUUUGUGUAACCAACCCCCUUACCUGUAAUCUCUGACAUUUUAUUAGUUUUGAUUUGAAAACUUCUUACUUUUGGGUUUUGUUCGUACUAGUACCUAGGACACUUUGGGUGCUAACACCUUCCCUUUGUGUAACCAACCCCCUUACCUGUAAUCUCUGACAUUUUAUUAGUUUUGAUUUGAAAACUUCUUACUUUUGGGUUUUGUUCGUACUUUUCCCUUGGAAAUAAUAAAAGCGCGGUGGCGACUCUCAUUUUAUUGAUGUCUAGCUCAUCCAUAGUUUGAUGAUCAUGAAUUUACCGCUACAAAAUGCAUGAGACUCACACUGACUCCUAAAUCAAUAAGAGAUUUUUUGAAUGACUUAUCUCCAAUGGUGUAUGGGAUGGUGACAACACCUCGAUCUUUCUUCUUUAUUGGAAUUUUCAUACCCUACAAAAUAGCACUACAAGUUCCGGUUAGAAUAAUUGGGUUUGUGUCAAUGGUUCACUUCUUAGAAAUAAUGUCCUUUAUGAACUUGGCAUAAGUAGGAAUUUGUUCAAGUACUUCCAAAAGUGGAAUGUUGAUUUCUAGCUUCUUGAACAACUCUAAUAAUUUCUCAAAGUUUUUCUCAUGUUGCCUCUUUUUCUUGUUUCUUGUGGGAAAGAGAAGCUUAAUGACCAGUUUUGGCUCAAUGACUUUUUCUUUCACUACUUGUUUAGGCAUAACCACUUCUUCCCUUACAACUUCAUUUUCUUUGAUCUCAAGAUCUACUUCAAGAGUUGAUCUUCAUCUUUAGCUUCCUCCUCAAGGACUUCGUUAGAUUUACCACUUCUCGUUGUCACAACACUAACAUGGUUUUUCUCUCUUGGAUUUGUCACAAUUGCACUUGGUAGAGCACCUUGUGCUUGAGAACUUGAGGCUAAUUGUUGUGCUAUUUGACCCAUCUGAACUUCAAGAUUUUUUAUGGAAGUAGUGGUGUUCUUCUGAUUGUUUCUAGUUUCUUCUUGGAAUUGAACAUUGUGAGCUGCCAUUCUUUCAAUGAUAAUCUCCCAAUCUGCUUUCUUUGGGGAUUGUUGUUGCUAUUGUUGUUGCUAUUGUUGUUGAUAUUCAGUUUGAUAUUGACCUUGACCUUGUUGUGGAACAUUCCCUUUCUGAUCUUUUCAUUAGAAGUUAGGAUGAUUCUUCCAACCUGGAUUGUAAGUGUUGGAAUAGGGAUUAUUCUGCUUCAAAAAAUUUAUUUCAGGGUUUGCAAAGAAAUACAUUGUUUGGUAUGGUCCAUUACAAAUCUCACAACUGACAAUAGAAGCAGGUUGGACUUGAGCUACCUGUUGAGUAGCUAUAUUCAGAGCCUUCAACUUCUUUUCGACUUCGACAAUGAUUGUAUCUUUUAUACGGAUUCUAUUAGUUUCUAGCUUCAGAUCAAUAACUCCUUCAAGUUUACUUGUACAUCUGUCAUACAACUCGAAGUUCUCAUUAACAGUAAUUGCUUCAAUGAUCUUUCUGAUACCGGUGGUUGUUGAGAAAUUAGUUGAGCCACCGACUGCUGGAUCAAUCAACUGUUUGGUCUUUAUUUUGAGACCAUUUACAAACAUCUGCAUCUGUUUUGUUUGAUCCAUAUUAUGAGUCGGACAAGCCACUAGGACCCUUUUGAAUCUUUUGUAGGCAUCUCCCAAAGACUCACCCUCUUCCUCCUUGAAGUUCAGGAUUUCAUACCUUUUUCUUAGAAAUAACGAUGCUGGAAAAUACUCAUUCAAGAAAACCUUUUCCAUCUCCUCCCAUGAUGUAAUACUGUCGGCUGGAAGAGAAUAGAACCAUUCUUCAGCCUCUUCAGCUAAAGUGAACAGGGACAUUCUUAACUUCUUUGCUUCCUCAGUAUAACCGUCAAUUUUUAGAGUGGUGCUCAUGGUCAGAAAUCUCUGCAGGUGUUUGUUUGCAUCUUCAUUUACCUUUCUAAUAAAAUGCAUUCUGUAAGUUUAAGGAGUGCCUUAGGGGGGGGGGGGGGGUGAAUGAGGCACUUAGAGUAUUUCCGGAUUUUUGACGGUUUAUAACUUUUACUUUCUGAAAUGCUUAAGUGAUGAAAAGCGUAAUGUGCGGAAGUUAAAGGACACGACGAUGGUAUAGUGGUUCCCCUCACAGAUCGAGAGUAUCUCCACUCCCCUUCAACAUGAAAGAGAAUUUACUAUCUGUUAUGACUUGUACACGACAGACACAAUCACCAAGAACAACCUCUUGUGAUUUACCAAGUUGAUAGAGAACAAUCCUCUCAAACUCAACUCUCUUGCUUCCAACAAUCCUGGACAAAAAAGUGUUUACAAAACACACAAUCUUAUUUUCAACAAUUAAAAAUAAGAUAUGGAUUACAACAAUGAUUGAAUGUAAAGUUUGUAGUAAAAUGAUCACACAAAGUGAUAUAUCAAUUUGCUUGAUCUUCUCUUCCAAUGAAAAUAAUUCACCACACAAAAUAUUAGAUUGCUCAAGAAUUUUCUGUUUUUGAAUGAUAUAAAAAUAUGCAGAAAUAUUCUUGAGUGAGGUUUAUAAACAAUAAGUGUGAAUUCUGAAAAUUAAAGAUAUUGAUUGGAAAGGUUGAAAUUUGAAUUGAAAGAUCAUGUAUUUAUAUGCACAUAACACCUCAAAUGAAACAUGGCAUAGGUUCUGAAAGAAUCAUGAACAAUUGUCAAAGAUGAAAUGAAAAGAUUCCAUGAAAUGGUGCAUGAAGAGGUGUAUGAACAACCACUGAUUUUUCAGAAACGCACAGUGUAAAUCGAUUGACAUAAUGGGUAAAUCGAUUAACUGUUGCAACGUUUAAAUUUUUCAAAACUUUCAGUGGGUAAAUCGAUUUCCCUAAGAGGUAAAUCGAUUUAUCUAAGUGAAAAAUUUAAAUUUUGCUUUUCAAAAAAUUGUAAGCAUUCAGUGUAAAUCGAUUCACGUGCUUGCGGAAGCCAUGCGGAUCUUUUAGGAAAAGUUACCUAUACCUGCUCUGAUGCCAAUUGUAGUUAAGGAGUGCCUUAGGAGGGGGGGGGGGGGGUGAAUGAGGCACUUAGAGUAUUUUCCGGAUUUUUGACGGUUUAGACUUUUACUUUCUUAAAUACUUAAGUGAUGAAAAGCGUAAAGUGCGGAAGGUAAAGGACAAACGAUGUAUAGUGGUUCCUCACAGAGCGAGAGUACUCCACUCCCCUUUCAACACGAAAGAGAAUUUACUAUCUGUUAUGACUUGUACACGACAGACACAAUCACCAAGAACAACCUCUUGUGAUUUACCAAGUUGAUAUGAGAACAAUCUUCUCAAACUCAACUCUCUUGCUUCCAACAAUCCUGGACAGCAAGGUGUUUACAAAACACACAAUCUUAUUUUUCAACAAUUACAAAUAAGAUAUGGAUUGAAUGUAAAGUUUGUAGUAAAAUGAUCACAAAAAGUGAUAUAUCAAUUUGAUUGAUCUUCUCUUCCAAUGAAAAUAAUUCACCACACCCAAAUAUUAGAUUGCUCAAGAAUUUUAUGUUUUGAAUGAUAUAAAAAUAUGCAGAAAAUAUCUUGAGUGAAGGUUUAAAACAAUAAGUGUGAAUUCUGAAAAUUAAAGAGAUUGAUUGGAAGAGGUGAAAUUUGAAUUUGAAAGAUCAUGUAUUUAUAUGCACAUAACACCUCAAAUGAAACAUGGCAAUGUUCUGAAAGAAUCAUGAACAAUUGUCAAAGAUGAAAUGAAAAGAUUAACACCUCAAAUGAAACAUGGCAAUGUUCUGAAAGAAUCAUGAACAAUUGUCAAAGAUGAAAUGAAAAGAUUCCAUGAAAUGGUGCAUGAAGAGGUGUAUGAACAACCACUGAUUUUUCAGAAACGCAUAGUGGUAAAUCGAUUUACAUAAUGGGUAAAUCGAUUACCCUAUUGCAACGUUUAAAAUUUUUCAAAAACUUUCAGUGGUAAAUCGAUUUCCCUAAGAGGUAAAUCCAUUUACCUAGUUAAAAAACUUGAAAUUUCGCUUCUGGAAAUGUAAUGCUCCAGUGGUAAAUCGAUUUCCCUAAGUGGUAAAUUGAUUUACCUAAUUGAAAAAUUUAAACUUUGCUUUUAAAAAAUAUGUAAGCAUCAGUGGUAAAUCGAUUUCCCUUAUAGGUAAAUCGAUUUACCUAGUUUGAAAAUGAAAAAAAUUAUUCUAAGUCAUUUUCCAUGCACAAUGAAAAGUUAUGCAAUAGCCAUAUGAAUACUUGAGCAUCUAAGAAUUUAGUGAAGGUAAGUAUUCUCAUUAUACCUUCUUGAGGUGAAAAGCCUAACUUCUUGAAUCAAGAUGCUUUAUCAUAGAAUAACAUCUUUGCCUUCUUGUUGCUUGGAGUUUUGUCUUCAUCAAAAACAUUCAUCAUAGAGAGGCUUGAUUUCACAUGAAUCUUUUGUAGGCAUCUCCCAAAGACUCACUCUAUUUCUCCUUGAAGUUCAGGAUUUCAUACCUUUUUCUUAGAAAUAACGAUGCUGGAAAAUACUCAUUCAAGAAAGCCUUUUCCAUCUCCUCCCAUGAUGUAAUACUAUCGGCUGGAAGAGAAUAAAACCAUUCUUCAGCCUCUUCAGCUAAAGGGAACAGGGACAUUCUUAACUUCUUUGCUUCCUCAGUAUAACCAUUCUUCAGCCUCUUCAGCUAAAGGGAACAGGGACAUUCUUAACUUCUUUGCUUCCUCAGUAUAACUUCUUUGCUUCCUCAACAAUUUCAUAUAUUCAAUACCAAAUUUUAGUUUUGUUUCCUCCUAAAACCUUAGAGGGAAACCUUCGGUCAUUCAUCCUAAUAUCUAAGUCCUUAGAGAACUAUGAUGAAACCAAGCCUUUGUUUUAUCAAGAUUUACCUGGUAACUAUAGGGUAUCCCUAGUCCUAGGUGAUAUCUACUAUAAAUUAAUCGUGCAAAAAUCUUAACAACUACAAUCUAGAUAAUUAGAACAAUCCUUAUUUGUCCGAUAAAGAAAGCAUUAGAAAUAUUGCACAAUUGAAUUGAAUAACAAAAUAUAAAAUUGAGGGAAUUAGGAAUUCAAAGUCAUUACACGAUCAAAUCAGGGACACCCCCUAGUAUUGGGGGGUUUAUCCGCCCAUAAUAUUCAAAGAAAAUACAAUAUUAAAAUUAAACAUUACAAGAUAAGUGGAUUCCGUUGAUAUUCAAUCGCGAUUGCUCUUGAAGAAUCUCCAUUCUCCGAAUCCCUUAACAGUACCAAUCUUAAUCCUCAAAUUCUUUUGUCAUGAAAAAGGUUCAUUCUCUUUUCCCAAAAAGUAGUAUAAAUAGUCACUAAUCGAUUAACAGAUGUAGCAAAUACCCAUAUUGCCCCCCGGAGUCAUAAACUAUAAAAAUCCAAGAAAAUCAAAAGAUGUAGCGCCCAAGCCAACUGGGCCGUGUCAGGAAACACGACUAACCGUGUUGGCUUAGUGUUUCUCUACUCAACUUCUCUAAGUUCCAAGCUUGCUGACACGGACCGUAUCAGUUGACACAGGCACCCGUGUUAGCCCACUGUUUUUCUUCUUAACCUUUGAUUUCAUCCUUCUCCUGACACGGGAUGUGUCGGGUGACACGGGUGGCCAUGUCAGGGCCACUGUAUCCUUCAAAAAUACUUCUCUACGAGUCCGAAAUGCUCAAUUUCCUUGCACGAGUCCUUUAGGAUUUUUGCUUGAAUCUAAAAACAAAUAGAACUACCAAGAGAACGCAUGAAACGUAAUAAACAAACAUAAACUAAUAAUAAUAAUAAUAACAAAGCGAGAAUGGAAAUACGAACAUUAAACUUAACUUGAAAAAAUAAGAAGAAGAUAGAACAAAGUGUUACCGAUUUCGCGGAUUCAUGCUGAAUAAUUGACAUAAAACUAGUAGAGUUGGUGACCGAUCAGUGAGCAAGUUAUAAGGACAAGGUAUAAUAUUAACAAGGUAAUAAGAGUUAGUGUAUGGUAUAAACAAGUAAGUAUAAGGUGUUAGUGGGUUAGCAUAAACCAAGAGAAACAAUGAUACAUCAGAUGAAAUCACAAGUUAACAAAUGCAAGGCGUCAUCCACAUGUCCAAUGACCCAAGUUGGUUGAUGUAGGGGCAACCUAUCCAUGCUCUAAAGUAUCAUGGAUGAACACUUGAUCAUCCAAAGGUAGGUUUGAAUUAUGUAAAAUUUAAUCAACCCUAACCAAACCAACAUCAUGACAAAAAAUAGAUUUCAUUGGCCCUAAGGUUCAAGACCUCAUAAGUCCCUCAAAAACUAUCCAAAUGACUUGAAAUAAGACAAAAUCAAAUACUAGAGACAAAAAUAACAUGGGUCUAUGUUGAACAUUUUUUCAGAAUAAUACAAAUAAAUGGGUUAAAAGUAAAUAAAAAUGGGAAAGAAAAUGAUAAAAACCAAAAUAAAACAAAUGAAAUAAUUAAAAAAAGGGCAUAUGCACACGUUGGGGGUUGAACCUCUGACCUUGGGGUUAUGGGGGGAUCAACCCCCUCACCCACCGGGCCAAGCGCUCGAUGGUGUUAAUAACCACAUAAAAACAAAUAAAUAAUAAACAUGAUAAAUAAAUGGGAUUUGCACGCUAACCAACCAAUCAAAACACGACAAAUGCGGGUACAACUUCGUCUUCUUCCUCGAAUCACCUAAAAAUCAAAACCUCAAAAUACAAGUUUUUCAUUGGAUUUGAUUAUGAAAACAUCUUGCAAACAUAUAUUCGAACCAACCUCCACACUUAGGAGCCAUUGAUUGGCUCUGAGUGUGGAGUAUUUUCAAAAAUAUCAGAUGAACAAGUUAACCUAAUUUAAAAAUUAAAUUCUAAAUAUGGAGUAAUCAAAGCUGGAAACUUAGGGUUAAUGAUCAGAAGAAUAUUUCGAGUUGAAUGGUAACUUGUUUCAGAGAUGGGGGUGAGUGGAACUACCUGAUCAGAAUCAAUCUCAAAGUGGAGUUCCGAUGACCUAGCUCAGCCUAGGUGAGGCUAAGAAAAGGUGAGUUAGGACUUUGGAAAGUUUGAAUGGAUGUUGGUGAAGGUUUCUAGGUGGUUGUUGGAGUUAAAACACUUUGAAAUUCGAAAAUGCAAACCCUAUUUUGGAUGGUUCAACUCGAGUAUGCAACAGGGUUUCUUUCGCUUGGAAAGCUUGGUUUUAAAGUGGAACACCUUCCCCUAUUUAUAGGGAAGGUGGUGGAGUGACUUGGAGGGAUAAAAGAGGUGGUUUGCUCAGAAAGCAUAUAUGACUUGAAGCAUGCUCGAAACCGACUUUGAGGAGAUAUGGAAUGGUAUAUUCUGAGCUAGUUUCCUUCACCAACCACUUGGUUUUGGUCCUUAUCACCAAACAGAAACAACCAAAGGCAUUGAAAUGGUCUGCUAUGCAUUUGGAUUUUAGCCAAUUUGGGGAAAAAAUAUGAAAAAUCACAUGACAUCGGGUUUCAUGAUUUGGGAGGUUUACACACCAAAAUUGACUACCAUUUGGGCCUUGGUAUGUUGCAUAACAUGUUACAAGUCAAAAGGAAUUAGAUUGAAGUGGAUUAAGACCUUGGUGAACCAAUUUGUAAAUUCUGGUUGAGGUGGGUCUGGUUUGUGCAUCAUGGCAAGUCAGCAACUUUGAACCAAGGCCAAAUGAAAUUGGUUCGUGCAUUUUGUCUUAAUUUUGUGCCAUUUGCUCCUUGCCAUGUAAUUGAUUGAAUGCAAAAAGAACCAGGUCAAAAGGGUUUACGGUUUGGAAAUGGGAAUGUGUCAAAGUAGUGGUCAUGACAUGAUUUUAGGGCAUGGUGGGCAUGUUGGACCAGCUUGGUCAAUAGAAAAUUUGAAGCCCUUCCUUAAUGAAUUAGGUCUUGGACCUUAAAAGAAAGUUGUAGAGGAAAUCAUUUAGGACAUUUGGCUCAAAGUGGAAUUCAAAAAUCUUGAGAAAUGAGAAAGUUAUGGUCUUUGGAACUUCCCAUAGGCCAUACUUGCCAAAGUGCAACCAACCAACAUGACCUAAAAAUGGGAUUUUGUGAUUUCUUGAUUUCCAAGGCACAAUGGUGGAUGUUUUGAGUUCAUAUGAUCAGACCAUGAUGGGAAAUAAUAUUUGGACCUUUGUGGGAUGAUUUUAGGUGAAGUUGAUGGGUGGAUCAAAGCAUUGAAAGUUGAAAAAUCAUGAACAAACCAACUACUUGUAACAUGGAUUGAAUGAAUGUUUAAAUGAUGGAUCUUGGUUGUAAUGGGCAUAAUUGAUGUUGUAAUGGACAUGGAUUGAAUCAAUUUCAAUGGUUUAAGGAUCCUCAAAUUAGGGUUUCUUGAGCCACAAGGUUUGUCAAGAACCAAAGCCAAAUGGAUUAGGGCUUGAGAUGCAAGGGUCACAUUGAUAUGUUUAAGAGGUAUGAGGCAUGAACAAACUUUGGAUUUAAGGAUCCCGAACAUGUCCUGAGGAAGUUGAUUCUUUACAGAUGAAUCCCAUGCCUUAAAUUUGUGGAUUAUUGUGGAUUGAUGCAUAUGAAAUGACAUGUGUGGUAUGUAUGCUCAUGAAUUAGGGCUUAAGAAGGUGAUAUGGGGUAGGGAAAAUUUGAGGGUAUGAAAACUGCCCCUAUUUAAUCUUCUCAGACCUGAAGGUAUGGAUAGCAACGACUUCAAAUACAUUCAUGGUAGGAGGGGAUUAAAUGAUAUUAGGAGUAACCAAAAAUUUGCCCGACUGGGUAUAAUAGUGAUAUGAGUUGAUUUGUUGGGGAUUAUGCAUGGUUAUGAUGAUUAUGCGUGCGAUGUGAUGUAUACAACAUAAGUAUCUUUUGAUGUUAAAACCUCAAGAAGACUGAGGGAAGAAACUCCAUUGGGGAAUAAGAAUAUCGGUAAAAGAGAGAGGGUGACUGCCCCUAGCAACGACUUGGAAGAAAAAUAAGGUAAUUCCUAGCAAUGGCUGGAACACCUAACUCUGAUGGGUAAAAUAUAGAUUCAAUGAUGAUUCCUAGCAAUGGAUAGAAUACCCGACAUCUACUGGGGAACAACCAAGUUAAUUCAGUGACGAUUCUUUGCGACGACUAUAAUACCUGAUUCAGUAGGGAAUACAAGUUGGGUUCAAUGAUGAUUCCUAGCAAUGGCUCGAAUACUUGACUCAACUGGAGAGAAAAGUAAGGUACAGUGAUGAUUCUUAGCAAAAACUAGAAUACCCGACUCUGUGAGGAAAAGAAGUUGUUUAAUGAUGAUUCUCAGUGAAGGCUGGAAUACCUGACUUGACUAGGGAAUUUCUCAAGAAGGUACAAUUACGAUUCUUAGCAGCGACUAGAAUAUUUGACUAUACUGAGGAAAAUACAGAAGUUUAGUGACGAUCCCUAGCAACAGAUGAAAUACAUGACAUAUGUGGGGGAAAGAAUCAACUAGUUCAGUGACGAUUCCUAGCAAUGGCUAAAAAUACCCGACAUAGCUGGGGAAGGAAUUCAUAACAAUUCUUUUUUAGCUAUGAAUUUUUUUUGGACUCGGUUUGGGGAAUGAGCCCAAAAUACCUUGUGUCUAAUAAAAGGGGGAAGUUCAAUGACAAUUCUUAACAACAACUAAGAAUACCUGACUCUACGGGGAAGAAAAAAAAUGUGGUGAUGACUCUCAAGGGAUAGAAGAAGUAUGAUGAUGAUUCUUAACAACGGCUAAGAAUACCCGACUCUUCUGGGGAAACUUGAAACAAAGCAGUUCAGUGAUGAUUCCUAGCAAUGGCUAGAAAUACUUGACUCUGCUUAAGGAAAUGUUUUGAGAAUGAAUGUUGACUUUACUAGGGAAAAUUCCUAACAACGGUUGGGAAUUUCCGGACUUUGAUGAAUCAAUUCGAGUAAGUUAAGGAGAUACUUAUGAUGCGAUGUUAUGUAUGCAAGAUGUCGAUGCAUGUUCGGGUUUUUGCAGGGGAAUGUAUGAAAUGUAGGGUUUGCAAGUAGCGCCAAGUAUGAUUGGGAUUUGCGGGGGAAUAUAUCUAAGGAGUGUCAAUGGUGAUUGGGAUUAAAAACUCGGGGAAAUGUACUGACUUCCUGUUACCGGAAAAUUGGAAUUUCUGAUGUUCAAGCAAGCACUAGGUGCAAUAGCUGAGGAGUUCUGUUGGGGAAGAAUUUGAUUGUUCAAGUCCAAGGGACUGUGUAGCGCAUUCAGGUUGGGGAUACCAAACGCGUUUUUGGUUUCCUUUAGAUAUUUUGAAAGCGAAGUAAAUCGAUUUUUUUCCCUUAGUUUUUUUUUAAAAAGUUUUUUUUAUCAAGAAAAUUCCGAUGGGAUAUCAUUUUGAGAAAAGGUUACAUUUCACAAAUAAAACAGGAAAAGUAAAAAUAUUGAGCACAAAAGGGGGAACUGAUUUUAUUGAUAAAUGGUCCAAAUAUGGGUAAUUUGUACAAAAAGGCAAUUCCUAAAAGAGGUGAUUGCAAAAAGAAAUUGAAAAACUAUAAUGACAAGGAAAUAUCUCGGAUUUCUACCAAAUUCCAACUCUACUAUAAUCAUCAUGUCUUCGAUCUUCCUUUGAUCUUGCUUCAGAAGGAGAGUGAUUGGAUUAACUUGCUGGGGAAACUACUAAUUGACUAGUUGAGGAGUGAAGAAAGAUUCUUUGCGGGAUGCAUCCUCUCACUUUUGCUAAAUCCCUAAUUUUUUCCUUGAACGCCCUUUUGGGUUUUCAGUCUACCGGGAUACCCUUUUUUGCAUAAGCCACUCAUUCGAGUUUUCAACUUAUCGAGCUCUUUUUCUUAAGCGUAGUAUUUUUUUACUACAUCCGCGUUCACGGGUGUAAGACCCCAAUUUUGACCCUAAGAUCCCUCAUGUUAUCUCAUCAUAUGCAUUGGCAUUGGGAUCACACCUUGACAUCCUCCUUACCCCUCAUUCAUUGGGUUUGUAGUGGGAGAGAUAACCAAGCACAUUUGAUUCUAUCAUACUUUAUUUUUCUUUGUUUACUAACCAAAAUACCAAGUAUGUUAAUGUAUAGUUUGUUGCUUUUGUAGGUAGUAUAUUUGCUCACCUAUGCUCUAUCAAGCUAAUAUAUAGGGUUUGAGACCCUCAAUGCAAGGAGAACAAUCAAUAAAUGGUUCACAUUGGCUCUAAGCAUCAUAUAUGGAUCCCCAUUAUCUUCACAUAUCAUUUUGAUCAAGAAAUCAUCAAGAGUUUGGAGUUUGUUUGCCUUGGAAACCCUAAUUCAUUUGGGUAUCUUGUGUGACUUCUUCAACAAGUUUCUUCAAUAAUUGAUCCAAUAUUUCAAGGCAUACUUAAUAGUUAAUCAUAUUACAUAUAUAUGAUUCUCCAUGAGUCCCAAAAAUCAAGAGAAUGUCAAGCUAGCAAGAUGGUUCAUGGUGGUUGACAAGAGAAAGUCAACUGGUCAAAACUGGGGUUCCUUAGACCCUAUCUCCUACAAUCUUUGUCAUAUGAAAAUUAUUAAAAGAUCCAAGUUAAUCAAAAUUACAUUCCCAAAAACUUUCAUGUUGAAGUCAAGAGCUAGUUUUGCUUGGAAAGUCAUUUUUUAUGGUGAAAGAUUAUAGGUCAUUUUGUCUAAACCCUAGUUUAGAGGUCAACUUCCCAAGACCAUAACUUGCUCAAUUUUUAUGAUAUUAAAGCCAUUAAAUUUUCAUGAUAAAAUUCAAGAUGUCUACAUCAAAUUUUAUGUUUAGAGGAAGCUCAAAUUCAACUUGCAAAUGCAUGUGCCAAGAGGAAACAUUAUAGGUCAUUUUGGGCCAAUACCAUUGAACAAGUGAUUUUCCUCAACUUCUAAAAUGCAUAACUCUUUCAUGCCAAAUCCAAAUUAGAUCAAAUUUGUGAUAAAAUUAAAUAGGUUUGAAAGAGAUACGACUGUGAUGAAGAAAAGUUUCUCAUUUGAAGUCCAUAGAAAAAGUUAUUCAAGGAGGAAGAAGUGAACAUUUGACUUGGGACUUAGAAAAUUUUCAAAUAUGUUUGAUUUUCCAAAUUUGCACCUCAAAAUUAGUCAUGAUCCAAGCUUCAAAUGAAAAAGUGUUCAACAUGAAAGUUGUUCCCCUAGAUCUCACCUUUCCAAAACAUACAAGAUCAUCUCAUUUGGAUCCAAAUUGAGGGACAUGCACAUGGCUCCAUUAUGGGAAGUGUUUUGGCAAGUUUUGAGCUCAAAUGAUCAUUCUUCUUUGCAUGCUUCCACAUGAUGAAUUCAGUACACUUUGCACACGAAUUGGGUGUGGAUUACAUCAUUCAUUAGGCCCAAACCAUUGCCCAUGCACCCAUGCAAGAAGGUUUCCAAAUUUGGCCAAAAUUCAAGUGGUGCAAAAAUCAAAUGCAUUGCCUAUUUAAACAAGCUCAAGGCUUUAGAAUCAACAUCAACACCUUGCCCAAGCUUUUCUAGACUGAUUCAAACCUUCACUAUUAUAGAAUUUAUGAAGAUUUCUAUUGAAGUUGAGCUUGAACUUCCUCUUCUGUUUGGAAGUUUAAACUCCAGAAAUUCACUUCCCUUUUCAUCUCAAUUGGCUUCUACAAGCAAGAGGAAGAGAAAGCAAUCAAAUCCAAAUCAAGAUCAAGGGGAAUUCGAUCAACUCGAAGGUGAUAUUUCAGAAACUUCAUCUCUUCGAUUCUCUCUCAAUUUUUCAUCAUUCUUUGUGAUUUUUGGUUGUCUGAAGUCCUAUCAAUGUAGGCAAGAAGAUUGAGUUUCUUUAAGGUCAAAUCAAAGCAACUAAGUUCAUGAUCCUCAAAAUUCAAAUCCCUGUAUCUUUUUAUAUACUUGGAAUUGGACAAAAUUGAGGCCAAAUUCGUGCUUCUGAGCAUUUUUCCUUCAAAAUAGUAUACUCACUUUUCAUUUUCCAUUGAGUUAAGCUUGGACCAGUCUGGUGGUCCGCACUGGAGAAGAUGACCGGAGCUAGGGCUUCAGUGGUAUGAUGGAGAAGAUGAGCGGAGCUAGGUCUCCAUAAAUUCACUUCCCUUUUCAUCUCAAUUGGCUUCUACAAGCAAGAGGAAAAGAAAGCAAUCAAAUCCAGAUCAAGAUCAAGUGGAAUUGGAUCAACUCGAAGGUGAUUUUUCAGAAACUUUAUCUCUUCGAUUCUCUCUCAAUUCUUCAUCAUUCUUUCUCAUUUUUGGUUGUCUGAAGUCCUAUCAAUGUAGGCAAGAAGCUUAAGUUUCUUUGAGGUCAAAUCGAAGCAACUCAGUUCAUGAACCUCAAAAUUCAAAUCCCUAUAUCUUUUUAUAUACUUGGAAUUGGAGAAAAUUGAGGCCAGAUUCGUGCUCCUGAGCAUUUUUCCUUCAAAUUUGUGUAUUUACUUUUCAUAUUUCAUAAGGUUUUGGUUGGACCAGUCUGGUAGUCCUCACCGGAGAAGAUGACCGGAGCUAGGACUCCGUUGGUGCACUGGAUCAAUCCAGACCAUCUGAUCCAUUUGAAAUGUUUUAAUCUCACGCAUCCAAACUGAUUACCAUGCCUACAGCGUGUUUGACUAGUGACCAUGUGGAAUGCGCGCUCUUGGCCAUCUGAUUUGCCACCUCAACUAAUGAGGGAGAUCAGAUGACCCUUAUUUUUUUGAUUUUCUGUUUAUUUCAUUUAAUCCUUUAUUUUUAAUUAAUUCAUAUCAAUUUUCAUUUUUAAUCCAAAAAAUAUGGGACUUUCAUCAAAAAAUUUCAAAUAUUUUCCUCUUUCAUUUUCUGAAUUAAAAAUAUUUUUGGAUUAAUUUUGAUAUUUUUUAUGAUUUAAUUAUUUUUAUGCAUAUUUUUAAUUGUUUAAAAAUACAUGUGACUUUCCUAAAAUUAUGAAUUUUUUUGUCUAAGGUCCUUUGACCUUGUUUGACCUAGGAUAAAUCUCUUGGCCAUUUGUUUGGUGUUUUGAAGAGGUUUUAGGUUUUUGAUCAAACAUAAUUAAAUUAAAAGGCAUUUUAAUUUGAUUUUUAAUUGAUUAAUUAUGUAGAAAUUAUGUUGAGCCAUUUUUAUUGACUUCUGAAGUUUGACUAUGUGUAUGGGCCUUGGUCAAGGUUGAUUUGACUUUUGUUGGAUUAAAAUCAUUGGAUUUAGGGGAUUGAUGAAAUAUACAUUUCAUCUCCCUAGAUGAAUGAAUAAUUUUAAUUUGAUAAAAGUCCUCCCAUGACCAAUUUGUGUUGAUCUCAUCUCCCCUCCCUCUUCAUCUUUAAUCCCAUUCUUUCCCAUCCCUUUCAUUCACCAAUGAAGUCUCAAUAUCCUAAGGCUAAUUGGUUCAUUCAUAACUUUGUGUUAGAUGAACCAAUACAAGUAUGGAUGAGAUUAGGUCCAUCCUUUGAUCAUUUUCUUUUUGUGUGUGGUAUGUUUUAGGAGUAUGAUUCAUUAUAUUAUAUCUCUAACAUGCAUUAACACCAAAAUAUUUAUUGCCUGGCCUCAGAUAGUUGUGACUUCUACAUAAGUCCAAUUAUGAUUGCUUAACAUAGCGCUAAAUUUUGACCCAAAGGCAUAGCAUUCUAGUAAGUGAGAUUGUAAGUCUCCCCCCUUUCAUGGUAUUAUGUGGAAAUUGGCCUUUUUUCCUUCCUUUGGAUGGUGCCUUGGCUCAAGGAUCCAUGCUUGUGAUAGAGGGUUGAGUGUUCUCCAAAGAAUGACUUAAUCAAUUGAAAAGCAAAACUCAACUAACUUUUAAUCAGCUAACAUUUGACCAACUCCUAUUAUCCUUGCUUUUAAUUUCAAGUCAUUUACUUUAUGAAAUUUAAAUUUAAGUCAUUUACCAUUUAAUUUUCCAUUUACAUAUCAUUUAACUUGUUUAUGUUUAUGCCAUUUUCACUUUGCUCACUUGAGCCAUAUAUUGUGAUUGUAUAUAUUUGUUUGUGUAUCUUGUUUAUGUUUGUGGUCUUAGGACCUUAAAAUACUUAAUAAACAACAAAAACCAUAAAAAAAAUUGUGUGGAUUGUUGGAUUUGAUCUGAGCUUUGGACUUAGAAUUAGGCAACAUUCCCUAUGCAAGAGGACUUGGCCAAUGCCAACAUUUUUGAAACCAAGUUAUUGUGAUUUGAGCUUCCAUAUGAUACAAGUAUUGGGGUCCACAUGAAUUCAUCUGCUACAUGAUCUUGAUGUAAAUGUUAUUUUGAACCAGUGUCUAAUGCCUUAUUCUGAGCCAAUCAAGGAGUAUGUCAUCUGAUACAUGGAAGAUUAAGAAGAAGACUAUGAAGUUGCUUGCUUGGAUGUGGCUAUCUUUAUUUGAUGCCUUGCUCUUCAUAUUGGUACUUGCUUAUUGAUAUUGCUUGAUUUAAAGUCCAAAGGAAAAAGUGGAUUUCUAUAUGACAUUCUUGUCUAUUGGAUUGCAUCCCAUUGGUCAGAUCUUUUCAACUCUUAACUUUUAAAUUUUAUGCUUAGGAUUAGUCUCUUCAUCUUCUACCAUUUCUUAAAUUUCAAAUCUUCCCCCCUUUUCAAAAACCUUCUUUGCUUGUGAUUUCUAAACUUAGACUCUUUUGCAAAUUAGACACUUUGGCCUUAUGCCAUUGCAUUUUUAAACUCUUUUCUUAAAUCAAACUUGUAAAUGAAUCUAAUCAUAUUGACUUAAAAUUUCAAAAGACAAAAAGAACUAACACUCAUUCAAACUCUUUUAGGCCCUUUGUGCCUCUUCAAAAUUUAAUUUUUUAUUAAAAGCAAUCCACUCAUUUUGAAAUUGUUACAAUGAACUACGAGGUUUUGAUCCCUCAUUUUUAUGUUGGUACGUAAGCACAAGUCCGAAGGUCUUAUCAAACACAAAAAUAUAACUAAUGAAUUCUUUUCUCAUCCCCACACUCUAUUUAUUGCAAACAUCUUUUAUACCAAAACACAUACAAACAUAAGAAAAGGGCUGCCUAGGAGUACCUAGGACACUUUGGGUGCUAACACCUUCCCUUUGUGUAACCAACCCCCUUACCUGUAAUCUCUGGCAUUUUAUUAGUUUUGAUUUGAAAACUUAUUAUCUUUGGGUUUUGUUCAUACUUUUCACUUUUUCUUUGGAAACAAUAAAAGCGCGGUGGCGACUCUGGUUUUAUUGACGUUAAGUUUAUCCAUAACUUAAUUGUCAUGAAUUUACCGCUAUAGAAAUUAAGUGGCGACUCUUCUGGGGAGUAGUCCUUAGUGGGUUUAGCCUACAUUUUUAUGUGUAUAUAAUUGUAUAUUUGAUGUUUGUAUACUUGUUUGUAUGAUAUAAUCUGCUUGUUGUGCUUGGUGAUCUCUGAGUGGUGAGAUAAGUUCUAACCCGGACUUGAGUGCAAUUAAGAUAGGAGGAUUGUAUAGUCAUGUUCGACUUGUGUUUAGUAGUCCUUAACAAGUUGGCUUGCGACCCAUCUACUCAGUGGAGACCCUUUUGGAGCUAUUGAUGUCACACAAGUUAUUUGUGGUUAGACGUUACUUUCUCUGGUUCGGGGUCCAAGAAGUUGAGGACCGUAGAACAUUUAACCCAACUUGGCCUAUUUAGGACGUAGUGCAGAGACUGUUCAAGUGUAGACUUGAUAACAGUUGUUACGCGAUACUAUACUCAGACGAGUUUCUCUUGAGAAUAUUACGGGUUGAUGAGUCAAUCACCCUAACCUGUAAUAUCUGAUAGAUAGAACUAAGACUCUGGGAACUUUUUAGAACAUAAUCUACAGGUUUUUAUCCUUAGUACACUCCUUUGGGAUGGUUCUUAACCUGACUCCAUGCUCGUGACUCACAACAAACCCUUGAUUCUUGGUUGAUCCAAUCAAAUCUUGUCAAUAUCAAUGGAACUUGGGUGUUGAUAAGGUGAAAACCAUAAUCCACCAAAAUGGAUGGUUGAUCUUGAAAAUGACUCGAUUCAUCCCUUGACCUUUGUUUGUUUGCCUUGUGUGUGAUCCCUUAUUUGUGAUUGUUGCAUUCAUGAUUUCAUACGCAUCAUGACAUUCAUCACACGAAAAAUAACGUCAAGGAACUGAGGUUUUAUUUGCAAAUAUUUUCAGACCAUGGAUUGUGGACGAAGGAACACUAAGAAGUACAGUUUCAGAUGUCCUGAUUUGAAAGAGCUAAGGAAGUUAUCAUCCUUUGUAUUAGAUCCCUUGGACUUCAAGCAACAUCAUGGGAAGAUGUUAUACGUGUUAUAUGUUGAUGUAGUUGAAGGACUCUUGAGUGUGUUGGUUUAGUUUUACGACCCUCUCUACCAUUGCUUCACUUUUCCCGAUUAUUAGCUUAUGCAUACGCUAGAAGAGUAUGCCCACCUCUUGAGAAUACCUAUUUCUGACAAGGUGCCUUUCAGUGGAUUAGAGGAGAUUCUCAGAUCUCAUAUCAUAGCUAAAGCUCUUCAUCUGAAGAAGUCUGAGAUUGAGGCUCAUUGGGUGAAGAAAGGAGGAAUGUUUGGGUUGACUUAUGAGUUCCUUAUUGGGAAAGCUACUGCCUUUUCUCAAGCUGGUAGUGUGGAUGCUUUUGAAGCCAUCUUUGUGUUGCUCUUCUACGGUUUAUCUUUGUUUCCUAACAUUUACGAUUUUCUUGAUGUUAACGCCAUUAGAAUCUUCUUGAUUAGGAAUCUUGUUCCAACUUUGUUGGGUGAUAUGUACUUCUCUUUGCAUUUAAGGAAUUCUAAAGGCGACAAAACUAUUGUGUGAUGUGUUCCUCUUCUGUACAAGUGGUUUAUUUUGCACUUGCCUCAGACACCUGCUUUUGUGGAGAACAAGCAAUGUCUACGAUGGUCUUAGAGACUUAUGUCUCUCACUAAUAAUGAUAUUGUUUGGUAUGAUUCUGCAUUGAGUAGCUUGGAUAUUAUUGAUAGUUGUGGUGAAAUCUCUAAUGUGCCUCUCAUUGGUACACAAGGAGGAAUCAAUUGCAACCCUGCUUUGGCUCGUCGUCAACUUGGGUUCCCCUUGAGAGACAAACCUAAUAACACUCAAUUAGAAGGUAUUUUCUAUCAAGAGGGUAAGUAUCCCCAACGUUUGAAGCAGAAGAUGAUGCAUGCUUGGCAUAAUGGGCAUAGGAAAGGAAGAUCCAAGCUUGGUCCAUGCAACAGUGUAGCUUUGGAAGCUUACACUACUUGGGUGAAGAAGAGAGCUUUGGAAUUGAAGAUGCCGUAUGCUUAUGAGAGACCUAUGUCUAUGGUUGUGGUUGAGCCAUAAACUCUCCCUAACCAAGAUGUAGAGGAGUUGGAAGACGCACUCGCCAAGAUGAAGCAAGAGAAGGAUAUGUGAGAAGAGCGGUUCCAUGCUUUGAGCCGAAAGCAUGAGGAGUUGCAGCUUGAGUCGAAGGACAAAGAUGUGCUUAUUGAACUUCUUGAAGACCGAGCAAUGAAGAGAUAGAGAGAACCAGAGAGUCCAUCUUCCUCUAGUAUGCCUAAGCCUUCCGCUGCUUGGAAGAAGAUUGUUGAUCAGCUUGUCCUCGAGAAGGCUCAGAUGAAGACUUCUUUUGAGACCGAGAUCUGACGCAUCCGAAGGAAGUACGCACCAGCGGCCAGAUCAUCUGACACUGUUGUUAGGGGAUCCUUAGGAUGAUUAGUUUCCCUUUCUCUUGUAUUUGUAUUUUGGUUUCUGAAAUUGUACUAAGUGUAAUCCUUCCAAAUUAUAUGAAUAAAAGAGAUUUUAUGGUCAAUCAAAUUGUUACUAUUGCUAUUAUAUAUUUGAAAAUAAAAUAGUAUGUUCCUUGAAAAUAAAAACAAACAAAACAUUUCAUUUCAUGCAUCAUUUGCAUAACAGGUUUUCUUCUGCCAAAUGUCUUAUCGGUUAUUCUUCUGUGCUUUAGCCAAGCUGACUCACUGAUACAACACUCGCGCCAAUCAACCGAGAAUCAUGGAGCAUUUAGAGCAAGAGAAACGAGAACUGAAGGAUGAUAUUGCUCAUCUAACUGCUAUGAUGAAGUAUGUUCUAGAUGCUCAGAAUAAGUCUUCUCCAACUCCUGCAACUCUUCCUCCUCAUAGGACUGUCAUCUCAGAGGUUGCUACCUCAACUGUUCAUGUUGCUGCUACUCAAUUUGGUCCAACUAUGCCUGCUGGAUUCCCGUGGAGGAUGCCGUUGAAUUUUAUGCCUGAAGGGUUUGCACUUAUAUUUGCUUAUAUGUCAGUAUCUAGCCUGGUCAUGUCUGUGCCGCCUCCAGUUGUUCAUACUCUGCCUCGGGUUGAGGACACCAUCUACCAUUCUGAGCCGUCUGAGGGACCUGAUGUUUAUGAGAAGAUCGAUGAGAUGAAAGAUCAGUUCCUUGAGCUGCGAAAGGAAUUAAAGACAUUGAGGGGAAGAGAUUUGUUCGAUAAGAGUGUCGUUGAACUCUGCUUGGUACCAAACAUUAAGAUCCCAAUGAAGUUCAAAGUCCCUGACUUUGAAAAGUAUAAGGGAAAUACCUAUCCGCUUAGCCACCUUGUCAUGUAAGCCAGAAAAAUGUCAACUCAAACUGAUAAUGAUCAGUUAUUGAUUCACUACUUCCAAGACAGCCUGACUGGUGCCGCUUUAAGAUGGUACAUGGGGCUAGACAGUGCAAGUAUUCGCACAUUCAAUGAUUUGGGUGAAGCUUUUGUGAAGCAGUAUAAGUACAAUGUGGACAUGGCGCCUGAUAGAGACCAACUGAGGUAUAUGUCUAAGAAGGACAAAGAGACAUUCAAAGAGUAUGCCCAGAGGUGGAGAGAGCUUGCCGCUUAGAUUAAUCCUCCGUUGGAAGAGAAGGAGAUGAAGAAGAUUUUCCUGAAAACCCUGAGUUCGUUUUAUUACGAAUGCAUGAUUGUUAGUUCCCCUAGUGACUUUACCGAAAUGGUAAACAUGGGGAUGAGAUUAGAGGAUGAAGUCCGAGAGGGACGUUUGUCUAAAGAACAUGUGUCAUAUAGUAAGAAGCAUGGAAGUGGUUUUUCCAGAAAGAAGGAAGGGGAAACCAAUGCAGUAUCAGUAGGGAGGCAGAUGAGGCCUCAUGUCAAAAGAAAUCCGCAACCGCGUCAGCAUCAACAUCAAGUUUCACCAGUUAUUCAAGUAUUUUCAAACAAUCAAUCAGUUCCAGUUCAACAACAACGACAACAACAGUCGCAACAAAGAACCAACAACUACAACUAUAACAACAACAAAAUUUCGAGAGGAAGAAGGUCUCUUUUGACCCUAUUCCUAUGUUAUACGCUGAACUCUACCCGUCUCUGGUUCUCAAGAACCUACUCCAGCCAAGGAGUUCACCUCAAAUUCCAGAACCACUGCCAUGGUGGUACAAGCCUAAACUCCGUUGUGCCUUUCACCAAGGAGCUCCCGACCAUGAUAUUGAGAACUGUUACCCAUUGAAGUAUGAGGUAUAGAAGCUUAUGAAGAGUGGGAUGGUGUCCUUUGAGGACUGUGCGCCGAAUGUGAAAGCUAAUCCGUUGCCUGCUCAUGGUAUUUCCUCUAUCAAUAUGGUAGAUGGUUGUCCAGGAAUCUUCCGAGUCUUCGAUGUACGACGUAUUCGUCGGUCCUUGGUGGAGAUGCAUAGGACCCUGUGUACCAUCAGUGAUUGUGAGCAUGACCAUGAUGGUUGUGCAAUUUGUAGCGUGAACCCCCGUGGGUGUUUGAUCGUCAAAAGAGAUAUCUAGAAGUUGAUGGAUGAGAAUGUAAUCCAGAUUCAACAGUCGAGGGAUAUAGAUGAUGUCAAUGUAAUUGUUCCAGUGUUUAAAACCCCAGAGCGUGUAGUAAUUCAAUUUGAAAGUAGCAAUAGUAACAACGUCAAUAGAUUGGUAUCAUCGUUAGUGAUACGGUUAGCGGGCCCUGUCCCGUAUGCAUCCGAUAGAGCUGUUCUGUACCAGUAUAGUGCUACCAUGGUGGAGAAUGGUCAAGAGGUUCUAUUGCCUACGACCAAUUCUGUUGUGAAUAUUGCAUAUGUUACGAAGGUGACCCGUAGCGGUCAUGUUUUCGGUCCCAUUUUCCCAAAAGAAGUGAUAGAAGAUGCUUCAGUUGGUAAGAAGGUUGAUGUGCCUGUAGUAAAUCCAGUUAGUGCUCCAAUAUGUCAGUCUGGUGAAUCCAGCAAAUUGAAGACUAACAAUGAUGAUGAGGUACUGAGAUUGAUCAAGAAAAGUGAAUUUGAUAUGGUGGAACAACUGCUCCAAACUCCUUCGAAGAUUUCAGUGUUAUCUCUGCUAAUGAAUUCUGAAACGCACAGAGAAGCAUUGCAAAGAGUGUUGGAGAAAGCCUACGUCAAGCAUGAUGUGACUAUGGAUCAAUUUGACCACAUUAUGGCUAACAUUACUUCCUGCAACAACUUGAGCUUUUGUGAUGAAGAACUUCCCGAGGAAGGCAGAAAUCACAAUCUAGCACUGCAUAUAUCGAUGAACUGCAAGGAUGAUGCAUUGUCAAAUGUGUUGGUUGAUACUGGUUCUUCUUUAAAUAUACUCCCUAAAUCAACUCUGUCUAGAUUGUCAUAUCAAGGCACCCCUAUGAGGUACAAUUGCGUGAUUGUCAAAGCUUUUGAUGGUUCUCGCAAGACUGUCAUUGGAGAAGUGGACCUUCCAAUGAAGAUAGGUCCGAGUGAUUUUUAAAUUACUUUUUAAGUAAUGGAUAUCCACCCGGCCUAUAGCUGCUUGUUAGGAAAGCCAUGGAUCCAUGAAGCUGGAGCUGUAACAUCUACUCUGCACCAGAAGUUGAAAUUUGUGAAGAAUGGCAAGCUUGUCAUUGUUGGUGGAGAGAAAGCGUUGUUGGUGAGCCAAUUGUCAUCCUUUUCAUAUGUUGAAGCUGAGGAAGAGGUUGGAACUCCGUUCCAAGCCUUAUCCAUUGUUGAGGUAAAGAAAAUUGGGGCACCCAUGUCUUCUUUCAAGGAUGCUCAGAGAGCUAUUAAGGACGACAACACAAAUCAAAUGGGGUCGUAUGAUAGAAUUCUACGAGAACAAGAACCGAGCCAGAUUGGGAUAUCCCAAUGAGGGUCGUCUAAUGCUAGAGCUGAAGAAGUGCAACCAAGUUUCCGUAGCGGAGGGUUCAUCCAUGUUAAUGGACAACACUCAGCUGCUGUGAUCGAAGGCGAUGAAGAAGAAGACUGUGCCAACUUUGUGACGCAUGGCAAGACUUGCAACAAUUGGGUUGAUGUUGAUGUUCCUAUUAUUGUCCAUCGUUCUAAGUAAUUUGCUUUUACAUUUGUUUUAAGAAAAAUCCUUCUCCUAUGCCUAAGGGAGAAGUGAACAUUGUUGGGCAUUUCCAAAUUAUCAUCAAUAAAAUGCAAUUCUAUUCAUCCACAUCUAUGCUAUUUUAUUUUUACUUUUUUAUUUUCUGAAAAUGGUAAUCACAAAAAACAUAAAUAAAUAAUAAUUGUCCAUCUGCAUAAUAUUUGGUCACAAUUUACUUCUCUAAAAGCAAAAUAUUGAAUCAUUAUGCAGGUUGGUUUCUAAACCCAUUGAAUACAAUGACCCUACUCCCUCCCCAAACUUUGAUUUCCCAGUGUUUGAGGUCGAGGAAGAGACUAAUGAAGAAGUGUCUGAUGAACUAUCUCGUCUACUUGAGCAUGAAGAAAAAGCCAUUCAGCCAUUCGAAGAAUAGAUUGAGCUAGUCAACUUGGGUUCCGAAGAUGAUGUGAAGGAAGUCAAGAUUGGGUCUCAGUUGUAUCCAGAGGUUAAGAAGGGGUUGAUUGAUCUUCUCCGAGAGUAUUCAGAUGUGUUUGCUUGGUCCUAUCAAGGCAUGCCUGGUUUGGAUUCUGAGAUUGUGGAGCAUAGAUUGCCAUUGAAUCCAGAAUGCCCGCCAGUCAAGCAGAAAUUAAGGAGGACUCAUCCUGAUAUGGCAGUGAAGAUCAAAGAAGAAGUGCAGAAGAAAAUUGGUGUCAGUUUCCUUGUCACAGCUGAGUAUCCGCAAUGGGUGGACAAUAUUGUGCCUGUUCCGAAGAAGGAUGGAAAAGUCCGUACGUGUGUUGAUUAUAGAGAUUUUUGUUGGUGUAAGCCCUAGAGGCCAAUACUUUUGGUACUUCUAUCGAAUUAUUUAUUAAUAAUAAAAGGAUUUUUCUUUAUUAUGUUUGUUUAAUAAAGUCCCUAGAAUAGCUAGUCUGUUUAAUGUAUCAAGUAUGACUUAAUCAAUGAGUAUCUAUCAGUUAUUAAUCAUGAGAUAUAAAAAAGGACACCUAUCUUAAAGUAUCCGUAUUCGAGCUUUAGUGUGAAGUGGGAUAACAUUAAAAGCAUUAAGACUAUUAUGUUUGUAGACUGAUGAUCACAUCUCAUGGAUCAUGGAUAAAGAGUUAUCAAGUCUUAAACAUAGGUAUGAAUAUUAGGAGUAAUAUUUAUACCGGAUUGAACCCGCUAUGCGAAUACUAUAUAGAAAGUUAUGCAAAGUGUCAUAAGUUUAUUCUCAUGGUGAUAAUGGUGUAUACCCACUCUUCGACCUGAAACCACUAUGGACCCUAGAUGUAGAGUCGAGUGCUUUUAUUGCUGAUCAAACGUUGUCCGAACUGGAUAACCAUAAAAGACAGUUGAUGGUACUCCACGAAGCAUGCUGAGGGACAUGAGUGACCUAGAUGGAUUUGCCCAUCCUGCAUAAAAGGAUUUAAUGUCUAUGGGCCCAAUAUUGAACUGGACAAGGAUGACACGGUCUAUGCCUUGUGUUCAUAUAGAACAUAAGGGCAAAAGGGUAAUUAUACACAAAGUAUUAUCACAGAAGGUUUGUCAGAUCACAUGACAUUUCGUGUCUUGGUAGCAGUGAUGUGUUGCUAGAUACCGCUCACUGUUUAUUAUGUUAAAUGCGUGAUUUAAUAUAAUUGCCAACGUACAUGAAAACCUACAGGGCACACACAAAGGACGGAUUGAUGAGAGAUAGGGUAACUAAGGAUAACCGUAAGUACGGUGCCCUUAAAUGAAUUAUAGAACAUCGUAAGGUACGGUGUACUUGAGUAAAUACGAAAUAUGGUAAGGUACCAUGGGCUAAGUGAUUUGGUGGCAUAUAUAAGAUAUGGGCCAAAAUACACUUAAGUGGGCCUUUUAGCUUGAAGCCCACACAAGUGGUUCUAAUAAAUAGAACCCUUGUGCAGAAGCAUUAAUGCAGUUUGUCAAACGGUGAACUGACUUUGUGUGUUUGGCUUUGGAAAGCAAAGUCGCGGAUAGCAAGAGUCGCCACCGACUUUCUUUUAUCCAAUAAGGAAAGGCGAAAAGAACAGGAAAGACCUUGAUUAGAUUUUGGGUCGGGAGGUAUAUAACAAGGAAGGUGUUAGCACCUUUGUAUCCAUGGUUAUCCAUGGCUCUUAAUUGCUUAAUCAUUAUGUUUUUCUUGCCUGAAAGGUGUUUGAGAACUGUUUAGAAAAUAUUUUGAAAAGAGAGUUUAACUUUGUAAUAUUCUUGUACGAAUGUAUACAAAGUAUUUAUCUCGUUUAAUUUGAAAGCUGUUUAGAAAAAAUAUAACUUGGCAAUGAUUCUAGUAUGAAUGUAUACCAAGUGGUGAUUUUCUAAUAGAGUGUGCAAAAUGGAAGUGUGAAAGCAUUGUAAGUUGUGAAUCAGCAUUAAGAGUUGUACCUAACCAAGGUCUUUAUAGGUGUUUCCUAUCCUUAGGAGGGUAAGACUGUCCUUACUAUUGAGAAAUAAUUAGUCUUAUCCUUUGAUGUAAAGGGACAUCGUAGGUCAUCGAUUGGUCAUUGGAGGCAACAUUUGUAAGGAUACCUUAGCAUUCGAAGGACAAUCAUCAUUAACCUCGAGGCCUACAAACGAAGGGUCAUCGAGGGAUAAAAUCAUAUAUUCGUAGGCGACAUCCGAGGGACUACGAUUUAUCUAUAGGGGACAAUGAUAAUUUAACCGAAGGGUCUUUGCUAAGUGUAUCCCCACAUUCGCGGGACAUGACCGUAAUACCGUAAGGCAACAAAGAGAGGAACCAAGACACAUGUAUUCAAAGGCAACAUUUGUAAUCAGUUAGAUAAUUAGAAUAGAUCUCCACAAGGGUAUCCCACAAAUAAAGUGGAAUACCUAGCAAGCUACUUUCUUCGGGAGUAUGUGAACCCUCACAAAAAAUCAACAAACAGGUCAGAAUACCAAAUGGGGUGCAAUCAAUAAUUGCACCGAACAAAGGAAUCGCUGCAGAAAUAAUGUCAGGCAAAUAAUACACAGCUAUGAUAGGACAUGUCAGAUAAACACAGAACAGAACAGAAAAAAUCAGCGACUGUCAUGUUCGCUACUGCCUCGCCUAGCGAAGGCUUGGCGAACACUCGCUACAGGUUCGCUUAGCGAUGUGCUAGCGAACGGCUGCGGGUUUAGAGUUUGAUAACAGUACGAUUUCCGGAACUCCGAACCCUGUGGCAUUCAUUACAGAAAUUACACGGUUAAACAUUCAGGAUAUUCAUGCAUACUUAAACCCACAUGCAAAAUCUAACUACAUAUCCAAAAUUCAAUCAUAAUGCAUCAUGUAUUUAGAGAUUACAAACUGGAAGUAUAAAACGGUAGUGAUGGUGCAAACCUGUUUGCGAUUGAAUUGCACCAGUGAAUUGGUAGAUCACUCUUAGGGUUUAUACCGGAUCGAGUGGGCGGAGGUAACCUUUGUGCAGGUGAGUUUCCUUCAGGGUUUCCUUUAGGGUUGCUCUGAAUUCUUUUGGUUAGCCUCCAGGGUUUGCUCUCUGUGCGUGUUGUGUUCUCCUUUCUCCUUGUUUUUUCCCGUCCUCCUUUUCUGAAAUGAGGUCUUUGGUAUUUAUAAUAGUUUUUGUGACCUGAUGGGCUCAGAAUGAAGCCCAAAAUUUCUGUAUUCGCAAGCUUUCGCUAGGCGAGUGGUGCAGCGAAGAGUUCGCUAGCGAAGGAUUUUGCUCGCCUAGCGAGCCAAGCCAUUUAAGUCAUUUUCUGGAUUUGGCCACCUGUGUGCUGGGUCUUUGUUCCUUUAAGAUCAAUGUCUUGAAAAAUGAGUUGGAGUGCCUUGAAAAAUGUCUUGCAAGAUUAACGGGCAAAUUUUGGAGUAUGACACGAUUGCAUUAUUUUCGUUUUCUCACUCUCUCUCUCUCUCACUCAAAGCCUUCAUUCGUACCAGCUAGCACUGAGAUUGAAGAAAUCCGUUCGUGUGGACUGAGUAGAGACGUUGUCAUCGUUCAACGUUCGUGAUCGCUUCGUGGAUCUGCAUCAAAGGUUUUAAUCGUCACAAGAGGUAAAUAUUCUAUCACUGAUCAUGACCAUUAGUAAGGAUCUCUAAAGGAGAAAAUUUUAAUUUCCACUGCGUUUUGGACCGCAAUUCUCCUUCAAUUUUAACAAAGAUAGUCCGAGAGAUGAUUUCCCUCUGCCACACAUUGAUAUGCUGGUAGACAAUAUAGCUAAAUUCAAAGUCUUUUCGUUUAUGGACAGAUUUUCCGAUUACGAUCAGAUCAAGAUGGAACCCGAGGAUAUGGAGAAGACCACAUUCAUUACACCCUGGGGAACAUUUUGUUAUAGAGUGAUACCUUUCGGUUUAAAGAAUGCUAGUGCAAUAUACCAGAGAGCAAUGACCACUCUUUUUCAUGAUAUGAUGCAUAAAGAGAUCAAAGUUUAUAUUGAUGAUUUGAUUGCUAAAUCAAGUGAUUAAGAAGAACAUGUUGAACAUUUGUUGAAGCCAUUCCAGCGUUUGAGGAAGUACAAACUCCACUUGAAUCCCAAUAAGUCUACAUUUGGUGUUCGUUCUGGUAAGUUGUUGGGCUUUUUUGUCAGCAAUAAAGGUAUUGAAGUUGAUCCUGCCAAGGUCAAAGCAAUACAAGAGAUGUCUGCGCCCAAAUCUGAGAAGCAAGUCAGAGGUUUUCUCAGCCGCUUGAAUUAUAUCUCAAGAUUCAUUUUGCAUAUGACUGCCAUGUGUGCACCUAUAUUCAAGCUUCUUCAGAAAGAUCAGUCUUGUGAUUGAACCGAGGAUUGCCAGAAAGCUUUUGAUAGUAUCAAAGAAUAUCUGCUUGAGCCUCUGAUUCUCUCUCCACCUGUUGAAGGAACACCGUUGAUAAUGUAUUUCACUGUGCUUGAUGAAAGUAUGGGUUGCAUUCUGGGUCAGCAAGACGAAACGGGAAAGAAAGAAUAUGCAAUUUACUACCUCAGUAAGAAGUUCACCGACUGUGAGACUCGAUAUUCUAUGCUUGAAAAGACUUGUUGCGCAUUGCCUUGGGCUGCUAAGCGUCUGCGUCAGUAUAUGUUGAAUCAUACUACUUGGUUGAUAUCCAAAAUGGAUCCAAUCAAGUAUAUUUUUGAGAAACCUUCUUUAACUGGGAGGAUUUCCCGUUGGCAGAUGUUGUUAUCUGAGUAUGAUAUUGAAUACCGAUCUCAAAAAGCUAUCAAAGGUAGUGUCUUGGCUGACCAUUUGGCUCACCAACCAAUUGAAGAUUAUCAGUCAGUACAGUAUUAUUUUCCCAACAAAGAGAUCUUGAACUUGAAAAUGAAAGAUUAUGAUGAACCAUUGCUUGAAGAAGGGCCAAAACCUAGUUCCUGUUGGGGCAUGGUAUUUGAUGGAGCUGUUAAUGAGUAUGGUAAUGACAUUAGGGCAGUGAUUAUUACUCCUCAAGGCACUCAUUUUCCAUUUACAGCUAGAUUGACUUUCAAGUGUACAAAUAAUAUGGCUGAGUAUGAAGCUUGCAUUAUGGGGCUUGAAGAGGCCAUUGAUCUUAGAAUCAAAUAUCUCGACGUCUAUGGAGAUUCAGCUUUGGUUGUGAAUCAGAUCAAAGGUAAAUGUGAGACGAAUCAACCCGGUUUGAUACCAUAUAGAGACUAUGCGAGGAGGAUUUCAACUUUCUUUAUAAAGGUUGAGUUUCAUCAUAUCCCUCGAGAUGAAAACCGGAUGGCAGAUGCUCUUGCAACAUUGGCUUCAAUGAUAGUGGUGAAAUUUUGGAAUGAAGUUCCUAAUUUGACUGUGAUGCGUCUUGAUAGGCCAGCUCAUGUAUUUGCUGUUGAAGAAGUCAAAGACGAAAAGCUGUGGUAUUUUGAUAUCAAGUGUUUUCUGCAAAUUCAGAUUUACCCGUCUGGGGAAUCUUUGAAAGGUAAGAAGACUGUGAGAAGAUUAGCUGACAACUUCUACCUGAAUGGUGAUGUGCUUUAUAAGAGAAACUUCGAUAUGGUUCUGCUCAGAUGCAUGGAUAGACAUGAAGCAGACUUAUUGAUGACGGAAGUCCAUGAAGGUUCCUUUGAUACUCAUUCCAAUGGACAUGCUAUGGCUAAGAAGAUGUUGAGAGCAAAUUACUAUUGGAUGACAAUGGAAUCUGAUUGUUGCAAGUUUGUGAAGAAAUGCUAUAAGUGUCAGAUAUACGCAGAUAAGAUUCAUGUUCCUCCGAUACUGUUGAAUGUUAUUUCCUCUCCAUGGCCCUUCUCCAUGUGGGGAAUUGAUAUGAUUGGCAUGAUUGAUCUUAAAGCUUCAAACGGACAUCGUUUCAUUCUGGUGGCUAUUGACUACUUCAGGAAGUGGGUUGAAGCGGCAUCGUUUGUGAAUGUAACUAAGCAAGUUAUUGUGAGGUUUAUCAAGAAUCAAAUUAUAUGCUUGUAUGGUGUGCCAAGUAAGAUCAUUACUGAUAAUGGAUCUAACUUGAACAAUAAUAUGGUGGAAGCUCUUUGAAAAGACUUCAAAAUUUCACAUCAUAAUUCUUCUCCCUACAGACCUAAGAUGAAUAGGGUUGUUAAAGCUGCAAACAAGAACAUCAAGAAGAUCAUCCAGAAGAUGGUUGUGACGUAUAAGGAUUGGCAUGAGAUACUCCCAUUUGCUUUACAUGGGUACCGUACAUCCGUCCGCACUUCUAAAGGGGCAACCCCUUUUUCACUUAUUUAUGGCAUGGAAGUUGAGAUCCCAUCAUUGCGUGUUUUCAUGGAAUCAAAGUUGACUAAAGUUGAAUGGUGUCAGACUAGGUACGACCAGCUGAAUUUGAUUGAAGAGAAAAGGUUGACUGCCAUGUGUCAUGGUUAGUUGUACCAGCAUAGAAUGGAGAAAGCUUUUGAUAAGAAGGUUAGGUCUCGUGUAUUCAGAUAAGGUGACCUGGUGCUCAAGAAGAUUUUAUCUUUUAAACCAGAUGUUAGGGGCAAAUGGACUCCUAAUUAUAAAGGCCCAUAUGUUGUCGAGAGAGCCUUUUCAGGUGGUGCUUUGAUUCUUACAACUAUGGAUGGUGAAGAGUUCACUCGUCCUGUGAAUGCCGAUGCAGUGAAGAAAUACUUUUCCUAAAAAGAAAAGAACAAAUCGCUAAGUUGAAAAUUUGAAAGGGCGACUUAGGCAAAAAUGAGCGUCUCGGUGGAUUGAAAACCUGAAAGAGCGAUCCAGGCAAAAAUUAGAGACAUAAAACAGAAAAAUUUAUCCCUAUAGAUUGAGUACCCCACCUUGGGGAAAUUUAUGCAAAAAUUAGGGAUUAUGGCAAGUAACUGCAUUCAGUUGAUCUUCAGUCUUGAAGACAUUCUUGAGCAAGUCAGUCAACUUUGAUUCAUCAUCCUUAACCGAAUCCCAGAACACAGUGGAUAUUGAAGAUGGUAGAAGGAUUAGUGAUCAUUGUAUUCAAUGUAGCCCUUUUCCAUGUAAAUUACCAUUUUUCAACUUUUGUAAAGUUCUAUGGAGUCUUGUCAUUUACAGACUACCAUUUUAUUAAAUAAAGUUGAGCUUUUAUCCAUUUAUUUUUGCUCUUAUUUAUCUUUCAGCCAAAUUAAAUUAAAUUUUAUGAUGAUCAUUUUGAAAUUGAAUUUAAAAAAUCAAUAAAAAUCAUCUUUCUUAAAAUAAUAAAAGCAAUUACUUUAAAAAGAGGAAUCGAUUUUCAUUAAGGAAUAUCCACAGCAGUUUGAAAACAGGUAAGUCCUAAAAUGCGAAACAUUGUUGGUCUUCCCUAAGCAGUUAGCUUAGUAAGUUGGUUUCCCCAGCUGAGUUUGAGAUCGUUUCCCCAACUGAGUUUUGUGAUCACUUCCCCAACUAAUUUGUAGGCGCGUAUUCUCAACGGUUUACACGAAUUCAGUGCAGAUUUUUGUUUCCCCUCAGAUCGCCAACAGACUUAUCCUUUUUCCCCGUCAACACUGAUUCUUGAGCAGUAUUUUUGAUCCUCUACAAGGUUGUCUCCCAUUUGAUAUGGUGUUGACCUGAAAUUCCCUACAGGGUUGAUGGUUUGAAUCCUCAUCAGAUCCUCUUGCUUUCCCCAGCCAGGGUCAAGCCUUUGAGAUGGAUGGUUUAUGUCCAUCCCCAACUAUUUUUCUCUAGUUGAUGCCUCCUUCCUGUCGAGAUUAGUCGAGUGUUAUAUCGAUGAUUCAUACCGUUGACAUUUAUAUCCUUCGUGAUUAUUUUUUGUCAGCAUAAUCAUCAAUCAUAUACAUAUACAUUCAUGGAUUUCAUUAUUGCAUUAUUAUUGCACUUUGUGAUUCAUUAUUUUUUCUAAUCCUCUUCUAUGGUGAUAUCAUUUCCCCACGUAGAUUUGGUGUGUCUGUCCUCCCUCAAUUGUAGAGUGUCAGCCCCUUAAGCAGAAAGAAUUUAACCUUUCUCAUUCCCCACUGAGUUGUUUUCUCAUGGAUGAUUAUUAUUUUAGCUUCCUCCCCAGUUGAUUAUCUGGAUGGAACCACUCCCCUUGAGUUAUAUCCUCACCGGGUCAAGUCUUUGAUAGACCGUUUCUUUCUAGCUCUUACCUAGAUUGAUGCUUUUGGUCCCCUGAGAGUCUAUUACCCAAUAACUGGUAAUAUUCUUCUCAAUUUACGAGUGCUUUACUUUUACACAAUACCUGGUAAUAGUAAUCUACUUUCUCUUGUUUUCCCCCAGUGGAUUCGUUUUACGUUUCCCCAGGUAGUCUAUCCUUGAUAUGUUCAUCUUAACCGGUGACCAUAUUCUUCCUUUUGAGUUUAUCCUUGAUAUGUUCAUCUUAACCGAUGACAGAUAUUCUUCCUUUUGAGUUUAUCCUUGAUAUGUUCAUCUUAAUCGAUGACAGAUAUUCUCCCCUUUUUGGUUUUCUACCCAGUAAAAAGGUAGUUGUAAUCCCUAUUUUAUUCCCCAGAGGGUUAAUCCUUGAUAUGUUCAUCCUAACUAAUGAUGGGUUUCCUCCUCUUUGCGGUCUUUUGCCCAGUAACCGAUAGUUGUAAAUCUUACUUUCCCUUGCGGAGUCUAUCCUUGAUAUGUUCAUCCUAACCAAUGAUAGAUAUUCUUUUUACGGUAUUCUAUCUAGUAACUGAUAGAUGUAAUUCCUAUUUCUUCCUUCGGAGUCUAUCUUUAAUAUGUUCAUCCUAACCGAUGACGGAUAUUCUUUUUUCGGUAUUCUAUCUAGUGACUGACAGAUGUAAUUCCUACUUUUCCCCGGCAGUUUAUCCUUGAUAUGUUCAUCUUAACCGAUGACGGAUAUUCUCCCCUUUGAGUUUAUGCUUGACAUGGCCACUUUAACCAGUGACAUGUAUUCUCUCUCUUCGGUCUUCUGCCCAGUAGUCGGUAGUUGUAAAUCCUAUUUGACUUUUCUCCAGCAGGUUAUUCAUACCUAGUAACUGGUAAUGAAUACACCUCAUGUUGCCCUCAACAAUUCAUCCUUGAUAUGUUUACCCUAACCGGUAACGGGUGUCCUCUCUGUCAGACUAUGUUAUCUCCUUACCCGGUAACUGAUAAUGGAUAAUAUACUUCUAUUACUCCUGCGUUGAAGUUCAUUUCUUCCCCAAUGAGUUUGAGUGUGUAUUUCCUCAUUGAAAUCGCCUUUUCCUUUUUGGAUCGAGUAUUUCAGUUUUGUCCUGAUUUACCCGUUUCCCCUGCAUAUAUUUCCUUUAUCCCCGGCUGAGUCCUUCCAUUGAUUUAUUUUCAUGGACCCUCUCGUGUCCCCCAACAGUUUUAAGUUGUAUCCUAGCCUACGCAUAACUUUUUAUCCCCCAGAGUCUCUGUCUCACCAGUGAGUUUUCCCUCGUGGAAUGCAUUAUGCUCUUGUGGACUUUCGGUCUCUCCGGAUUCUUUUCCUUUGUGGCAACAUUUUCCCCAUAGAGAUUAUUUGUAACAUUUCGUAUCAUAUGCAUCAUGAGGUCUCUUAGGGGCCAAAAUUUGUUUCUAUUGUUUUUAUUUAAGUCCAUUCUACUGAUUCGAUACGAAGAUUUUAACCUUCAUCUCCUCAGCUAGAACAUCCUUAAAUAGGGGCAGCUGUAAGACCCCAAUUUUGACUCUAAGAUCCCUCCUGCUAUCUCAUCAUAUGCAUUGGCAUUGGGAUGACACCUUGACAUCCUCCUUACCCCUCAUUCAUUGGGUUUGCAGUGAGAAAGAUCACCAAGCACAUUUGAUUGUAUCAUACUUUAUUUCUUUUUGUUUACUAACCAAAAUACCAAAUAUGUCAAUGUAUAGUUUGUUGCUUUUGUAGGUAGUAUGUAUGCUCACCUAUGCUCUAUCAAGCUCAUAUCUAGGGUUUGAGACCCUCAAUGCAAGGAGCACAAUCAAGAAAUGGUUCACAUUGGCUCUAACCAUAAUAUAUGGAUCCCCAUGAUCUUCACAUAUCAUUUUAAUCCAGAACUCAUCAAGAGUUUAGAGUUUGUUUGCCUUGGAAACCCUAAUUCAUCUAGGUAACUUGUGUGACUUCUUCAAUAAGUUUCUUCAACAAUUGAUCAAAUAUUUCAAGGGAUACUUCAUAUUUAGUCAUCUUACACAUAUAUUAUCCUCCAUGAGUCCCAAAAAUCAAGAGAAUGUCAAGCUAGCAAGAUGGUUUCAUGGUGGUUGACUACAGAAAGUCAACUGGUCAAAACUAGGGUUCCCUAGACCUAUCUCCUACAAUAUUUGUCAUAUGAAAAUUAUUACAAGAUCCAAGUUACUCAAAAUGACAUUCCUAAAAACUUUCAUGUUGAAUUCAAGAGCUAGUUUUGCUUGGAAAGUCAUUUUUUAUGGUGAAAGAUUAUAGAUCAUUUUGUCUAAACCCUAGUUUAGAGGCCAACUUCCCAAGACCAUAACUUGCUCAAUUUUUAUGAUAUUAAAGCCGUUAAAUUUUCAUGAUCAUAUUCCAGAUGUCUUCGUCAACUUUUAUGUUUGGAGGAAGCUCAAAUUCAACUUGAAAAUGCAUGUGCCAAGAGGAAACAUUAUAGGUCAUUUUGGGCCAAUACCAUUGAACAAGUGAUUUUCCUCAACUUCUAAAAUGCAUAACUCCUUCAUGCCAAAUCCAAAUUAGUUCAAAUUUGUGAUCAAAUUGAAUAGGUUUGAAAGAGCUACAACUACAAUGAAGAAAAGUUUCUCAUUUGAAGUCCAUAGAAAUAUUUAUUCAAGAGGAAGAAGUGAACAUUUGACUUAGGACUUAGAAAAUUUUCAAAUAUGUUUGAUUUCCCAAACUUGCACCUCAAAAUUAAUCA
This 75148-nucleotide long non-coding RNA is filed under the name Lathyrus oleraceus (garden pea). Its description in RNAcentral is "Pisum sativum (pea) long non-coding RNA (PSAT_LNC020651)". Lineage: Eukaryota; Viridiplantae; Streptophyta; Magnoliopsida; Fabales; Fabaceae. The record is from RNAcentral.